Molecule: long non-coding RNA, 80318 nt
Filed under: Solanum tuberosum (potato)
Lineage: Eukaryota; Viridiplantae; Streptophyta; Magnoliopsida; Solanales; Solanaceae
Description: long non-coding RNA (STUB_LNC011352)
Source: RNAcentral
UUAUUUAGAAGUGGCACUUUUAAAGGACUAACAUAGCUUCAAAUAAUUGUACCUUGUGCUUAUUUAGAAGUGCCACUUCUAAAGGAACUAACAUAGCUUAAAAUAAUUGUACCUUGUGCUGAAAAUGUGAUGAGACAAAUAAGGACAUUUUUGGUAUUGUCAAGAUUACUUUUGGUCAAUUCAUUGUAAUAGAGACAUCUGUACUCUAUUUGGUCACACGUGUCUUGACUUAGCCAGCCAAUCUUUAUCUUCUUUAUCCCAAUCUUUAUCUUCUUUAUUAUCUUUAUAUUUAUUUAUUAAAUUAUUUUAUUACCCUUAUAUACAAGUGAAAGUUGAGAGGGACGAACAAGGGCAAAAAGGUAAUUCUAAUGUUAAUUUUGGGUAAAUCUGUAAAUAACCUUUUCCUCUGUUAUGUAUAUCCACUUUCUUUGUCUUCAUUCUUUACACAGUAGAAUCUACAAUAUGCUCCAAAUCUAUUUUCACUUUGCUCUUUCCCGGAUUCUGAUUAUAGAUUUGAAUCUCUGUUUCGCCUUCAACUUUGUUUUCACUGUUGUUGUGUUCUUUAGUUGUGGUAAGAUUUUCUUUCCCCUUUCCCCUGAUUUUUCUCAACUGAUUCCGCCAGAAAGGUAAUUUUUUUGGGAAAAUCAUUUGAUGAGUAAAUCGUCGUAAUAUAGAAGUAGAAAUCUUGGUGUAGCAUGUUUGAAAAUUUGGACAUAUAUUGUGCUUAGUUGAUGGUGAGGAUAUCAACUCUCUAUAGUUUUCAACUUUAUGUUUACGUUCUUCAUUUAUUUACUUGACUGGUUGGUACAAAAACAGGUUCUGAAGCUAAAAUCUUUCUCCAAGUUUGACGUUGAGAACACCUCAGAAGCUCUGUCAGAAGCUAUGUUGUUGAUAAAUAGCAACCCCAACAAAGGACUGCGCAAGUUCUUGAAAGCACACUGUGAUGGGGAAACUUUGGUAGUUGCUGAUUCAAAGCUUGGAAAUGCAAUUAAAGAGAAAUUGAUCAGCUCCCUUCUUAUGUCAAUUCAACAAUUGUAUCUAAUUUGUUCAUGCAUGUUCGCAAAUAGAAAUAAAUAGGUAGUAGAUGACUUUGGAUCCUUGAUGCACAUAGUGCAUCUAAAAGUUUUGUUUUUCAAUAGUCUUGGUUUUGGUGCUUCUACCUAUUUUGGGGUUAAAAGGCGAAGAAGAGGAAAUAGUUGAACUUGGGGACAAACAUUUGAGUCCAACUACCCACAUAGAAUUUAGCAGACCUUUUUACACAUUCACUAAAUUAUUCCCUUUAUAUUUAGCUCUUAUGCUGCACUUCCCUUUCGAAUUUUCAGUUUAUUUUCCUAAUUCAGUUCUCCAAUUUUCAGCUAUUACUUUCUUCAUUUCAUUGUGCUUUAGAAUUCAUUGCUUUCUAUUCUCCUCUUUCACUUUAUUUUCUCCUAACUACAUUGUAUUUUAAUUUGCUUUCCUGUGCAACUGGACCUUCGUUGACAAUGAAUCCUGUAUAAAUUUAAAGCUCAAAUCCUCAAAUUAUGAAAGAUCGGAUAUUUCAAGACGUUGUUAUUCUCUCCAUUAAAAUUGAACUACACUUUUGGUACAUAUGCUUUGUAAUCUCUCCACUAAAAUUGGACUACGACUUUUCAUACAUAUAAUUUGUAUAAAUAACUUUUAGUGGUUCCGCAGUAUACCCAUCCAACAUGUUUGAUCAUAUACGUGGAAAUCCCUAACAAAAAUUUGUUGUCUUUCUUUUGCAGCAGGUUGUUCAAAAUAUUUUGCUCCAUCAGUCAACAACUCAAAAUGUAUGUUGUCAUCAGGCAACCUCACUUCUAUCGUUUAUAUUUGUGUUAAAAAUAUAUAUUUCAAAUGUAUGCCUUAAACUCAAGCCUAAAGAAGAAUAUGUAUAAACAAAUUUUUCAAAAGCAACUGCUAAUUGACUGAAAAUUGAAAUUGAUGCUUCACUUUUGAUCUUUCCUCAUUUAACUUCUAAUUUUAGCAAACACUUUAUUUCUCUAAAGAAAAUACAAUUGAGGAUUAUACAUUUACGCCUUUAGGUCUUCAAAGAAAAAUUUGAUCUAUGCACUUUUUGGUUUUGAUCAAACAGCAGUGCCUAUCAUAACAACUAUGCUAAAAGAUCUCUUACUCUUAGCCAUUAUGGUAGAAUAACUGUAACAUUCUAGAUUUCAUUUUCUUAACAACUCUUAUAUGCCACUUGAUGCAAUGGUAAACAUAAUAUUGCCUUUGUAAGAGGCCUUUCUCUGUCAGAUUGGAUAUGCACAGUUGAUAUGAUAGAAAUUUAGCACUUCACUGGUUAUAUUCAUGUACCCUUAUCGCCUUAUUAAUGUUCUGCCGCACAAAAAUCAUAGUUUAGGUUUGGAGUGAUAUUUCUACAACAUCCACUACUUUAUUCUCUUGACUAUUGACAGAAAUAUGUCAAUGAAAGGAAAUCAGGUAUCUUGCAGGUCUCUUGGAUAUGCUCCAAUUCCUACAUCCUUUAGUCCAGUGGGCAGUUCUAUCAAUGUGCUCUUAAUUUUUCGCUUUCUGGUACUAUGGAGAUAGGCGACACUCCUUUGCUAUUCUCAAUGGAUUAUUUUCUUAUGUCGUUGAAAUCUUUUCUUCUUUCUAAUUCUUUUUUGUACUGAAAACAGGUGCAACUUGAACCAUUUCACUUUGUCUCCGCGAGUAUGAAAAUGAGAGUAUUCACAUGGUGUCCACUUUGUGACUUCACAACGCUCAUCAAAUUUACUUUUCGGAAUUGGUAAAGAGAGAGGUACAUGCUAAUGGAUGUAAAAUUAGAUGAUAAUCAAAGACUUCAAAAAAUAAUUUAUGUAUAAAAAAGAUUAAAAUAUACCUUGAAAUUUGCUACAAGGAUCAUAUAUAUCCCUACAUGAUUUUUUUUAAUUUAAAAGUCAAAAAUAUAAAUUUAAAACUAUUUUUUUCACUUCCGUUAAAUUAAGGGUAUAUGUGAGCUCAUUUUGUAACGGUAGGGGUAUAUGUGAGCCGUUUGUAUAACGGUAAGAGUAUCCACUUUUUAUUAACGAAGGUUAAGCUUAUCUAUCACGUUGUGAACUUUCAGAUUAAUUGGCUUGAUCUGAUUUUUGGUAUAUUUCCUCCUAAAAGACGAUCCAUUAAAUUUUUCACAUCCAUUUAGUUAACUGUAAUACAAAAUGACCAAUUUUUGGCAGUCAAAACAUGAAAUGCUUUCUAGGAGAGUUAUAUAAAUUGUGAUACAUCCCAAUAAUAUACAUCCCAAUAAUUAAUGAAAAGGAAUAUGUGAGAAGAAAAGUGUUUUAUGCAAGCGAUAACAAUAUCAAGCUUUUAAAAUUUUGUUUCUUAAACUUUUGUGGUUCGAGUAAUCUUGUAUCUACAGUUUUUUUAUAUUUAGUUCAUGAUGUAUCGGAAUAAGCAGUUCAUUUACAUAUUAAUAUUUUCCACGUAGAUGCUUUUUGAUAUCUAAAUGGCCAUAUCAGUUCAAGGUUUUAUGUUUUAAAUUUCAACUUUCAAUUCAUUUUGGGAUCAGCCAAUUAAUUAAAUUUUAAUUGCUUGCUUUUUACUAAGCUUAAAUGCUAGCAUUGCAGGAACAUAUGUAAUUUUCUUUUGGUUGCUUCGCUCUUCCUAUCAAGGGUGAUUGCUUAUAGUUCUAGCUGAAGGAUAUGACAGAGAUGACCUACCUCUUAAAGUUUUUAUUUUUUUAUUACAAACAAUACAAUCAAAAGUAAAUGAAGAUGAGGUGAACAAAACUUUCGGUCACAAUACUCAAUCAAUUAAGGCCCCAGGACUUCUCCCGUUCUCUUGGAGAUGAGUGAAGACACAAGCAGAAGAAAGAGUAGAAGGUAAGAUAAUUUUUAUUCGUUCUUUUAAUAUCUUCUUUAUUAAGAAAGUUAUAUAGUUGUGGUGACAUUUACAAGUUUUUGCUCUCUUUGUUGUUGGGUUUAUCUGUGUUGAGCUUUUGUUGCUUAUUUUCUUUUACUGUUAUUUCUUAAUUUUCACAUUAACACUCAUCACUAUUUUUAGUGAACUUUUGAAGUUGUACACGAGAAUUGAUGAGGUUGUUGGUGUAUAUUUUAUUCCCAUUUGAUAAUUUAGUUUGAAACAUGUAUGUUUUGACAUGUGCUGAUUUUCAUAGAUUUGGAGAUUACUAAGGUAGAGAGCUCAAAACUUUUGUGGAUUAAUUUUGUGCUAUUGUCUGAUUGGUUUUUUUUUGCUUUUAUUUCCUUGAACAGUUUGAUAGGAUUCAUUGGUAAACAAAAAAGACAUGUUUAUCACGAAGAGAAUGUAUCUCAAGAGAUAAAAGCUAUUUGUUAUGAAGAUAUAUCAUACUGGACUACAACACUGUAUUCAUUGAGCUCUCAUUACUGUGACAUGUUUCAUGGUAAAUCCCAAUUUUGCUAAUGUGGAAUGAUUUUUACAUUUUCUUAUUUGUUUAGUUUAAAUGCUAUGAUUGUUUGAGGGAUAUUGGGUCUAAUCAGAUCUGACACACUUUCUACCAGACUACAUAAGGAGCCUUAAAAAAGAACACUAUAACAGGUGGAUGUAUAGAGAAGUAAUGAAAGUUAUGUUCUCACAUUAUUCAAUUAUUUGAAGGUUAAAUCGACUAUUUGAUCUCAGUUCCUAAGACGUUAAGUGUUGAUUGAUCUUCCUCCCCAAGGAGCUCAAUUUACCUCUGCACGGAUGAUCUAGAUCAGAAGAUUUUCAAAACUUUCAAUAAUUUCUUACCAUUUAAGGUAUAGUUUUAUUCAUGUCUUCUUCUUUUUCCCUAUCUUCUUCUCGAAUUUCCUCAGUGUGUGAUGUACUAUGGUGGCAAUUCUCUGUCUACAAAGACACUGUGUUAAAGAAAAAACUAAAAUUGAAAUUUUGGGUUAAGAGAAGAACUUCCUUGAGGAUAUUUGAUUUUGAUAGUUAUUUUUCCUUUUCCUUCAUUUUUUUCCCCAACUCAAUCAGACGAUCACUACUUUACUUAUUUAAUUUGUUAAUAUAAGAUGUAUGUCUCUUUCAAAAUUCUCUGUCAGUACCCUAACUGCUAACGUACCGAAAUAAAAAGAAAUGGUAACAAGGAAAUUGCCUUGAAUCUUGAUGCAACCAAUGUGUUUGAUGAAAUUACCAAUGAAAAAUAAAUGGCCACCAUCAAAUUAAUUAACUUGUUCUCUGCAAUCACUCAAGCUAUUUACAUAAUAUUACUAAGGAUUACAACUUUGUACUCAUUGACACAUGUUUGCAUGCAUACAUGGAGAAGAGGUAUGAAAUAGAUAAGUAUUUUUAGAGCAGCAUAACGAGCACUGAUCCUAAUCUAGAAUGAAAACAAGGCAAUCCAAGACUGAUUCAAAAAUUCAAAAGGAAAUUCAAGAAAUACAUUCAGAUAUGUCAAUGGUGUCAUUCCUUUUCUCUCUAUUUUUCUGUUUUUCUCUUUGCCCAGUUUCUCCAUUUUCUUCCUCAAUCUUUUGUGCUUUGGUUGUGUGCAGUUUCUAUCUCAAAUAUUGUUGGAAUUUAUGUUUUGGCUAUAUCAAAGAAAAUGAGAUGGUUUGACCAUUGAAAUCGAUACACCUCUGAAUGGGCACUUGAUUAAACACUUGUAGGAUUCACAUUGCACCGAUUUUGAGAAAACCUUCAAAGACCAUGAUGAUGCUGCAUUGAGUAAGUGCUUGCUCUUUGUCAUCUCAUGUUAUUCAGAUUCUUCAUAUCAGUAUAUCAUGUAUGCUAUUCCUAUUCAAGAAAAUAUACAUAUCAUAUUUCUGCAAUCUGAAUGGGGUUAAAGUAAAUUUAGCCAUUUCAUUUUUUGUUUUCAGUUUUGCGCCUAUUUACCUUUUUGUGGCUUUAAAAAAGGGCACACAUUUUCAUGAGUCCAUGUCAAGCUGCUAAAUUAUAGAAAUUGAGUGUUUUUGUUUUGUUCAUGUUAAUUUUUCCCAGAGGUGUUUUUCUUUGUUGCUCUGUUCACAUUCAUCUAUUUGUUUAAUGAGAUUCUCUAGAUGGUUCUUUAAUAAUUAAAGGUAACAGAGAGCUCAAGUUAGGCCUUUCUCUGUCAGAUUGGAUAUGCACGGUUGAUGUGAUAGAAAUUUAGCACUUCACUGGUUAUAUUCAUGGACCCUUAUCGCCUUAUGAAUGUUCUGCCACACAAAAAUCAUAGUUUAGGUUUGGAUUGAUAUUUCUACAACAUCCACCACUUUAUUCUCUUGACUAUUGAGAUAAAUAUGUCAAUGAAAGGAAAUCAGGUAUCUUGCAGGUCUCUUGGAUAUGCUCCAAUUCCUACAUCCUUUAGUCCAGUGGGCAGUUCUAUCAAUGUGCUCUUAGAUAGGGAACGAGCACUGAACGAAAAAUACUCAACUUGACGCCCAUAAAAUAUUUUAACAACAACAAAUUAAGGUAUUAAAAUUUCUCUGCUUGAUUGAUAUCUUUAUUUAUCAUGCCUCUAUUAUACAUUUGGUAUUAUUCUGCAAAAGAAUUGGUAAAUUUCAAUACACAAAUCAAUUGUACAUGCAUGAAACUCAAAGUGGUCUUCUGUUCAAAUCUACUCACCUAUGUUUGUGUACAAAAUUUUCAACUAAUAUUCUGAUAUAACUUUUGUUAAUUUGUGAACUUGCAAUUUAAGUUGUAGACUAAGGUACAUCUGAUAACCUAAUUGUUCUUCUCAGAUGAGUUGUACACUGUUUAUCCUAGAGUAUUUUCCUUUGUUAUUUUCUCAAGUAAUUUAGAGCUCACAUGGCUCACAACAUUCCUUCUUGUCUCGCUCGCUUAGGCUUUCUUCCCGUUUUUCUCGACUCCGAGCUCUUGGAAUUGGAAUAAAUUCUGAUAAAAGAAAUAGAUGCAACAACUUCUCUUAACCAUUGACUAUCCUUACUGCUCCCUCGCCGAUAAAUGGCUUGCCUCUUCUCCAACAAAUCACUACUGGUACUUAUACUAAAUUUCAAACUUCCGUUUCCAAAAUUUAUCUUUAAUGUUGAAAAUUCUCAAUUUUGACAGUCAUCUGCAUUCACUCUUAAAGAAAUAAUUGGGUAUUGAAUUAUAAAGAAAAUUUCUUAACUUAAGAUAUCAUGUAUAACAAUAGAUAUAUUUCACUAUUUAUGUAUCUAUCCUAUAAUUAUUUUCUUUUGUAGUCAAAACUUAUGCAAUAACUGUCGCCAUUCUUUUUGUUGUUUAACUCCUUAGAUCCCUAAGGGAAGUGGACGGUUUACUUACACAAAGCCAAAGAAUAGAGACUUUGUACAAUUGCGGAAUCUGCUUGACUCUUUUAAUGUCGUUGAUACUUCGCUUAUAACUAAACAGAACCGACAGAAGGUGCAACAAUCGAGAGUUAAAAGAACAAAUAGGAAAUGUCAUUUAUUUAUUAAAUUCUUGCUCUUAACAUCCUUCCCCUAGACCACUUUCUUAGGUUUUCUUGAACUAUUAGUCUAUGUGUAAGGCUAAACAGGUUCGUUAGAUUUUAUUUAUGUGCAUUUAUCACACACUUUGUGCAAUUUUGACUUAAAGGGAUGGGGCACAGGAAAAGGAAAUGUAUAUGAGGCAGAAACUUUUGUCAUAAUUGAUGAUGUUAGACUUUUGUAAUUUUAAAAUCGGAUGCACAUCUGAAUAAAGUAUGGUCUUGAUGUUUUGGGGAUGCCAUUAAUGUAGCUGAUUGUUAAGUGGAUAAAUUUCAUGUAAUGAGGAAUUCUGAGAAAUCAUUUUCUUUUGUAAUCAAGAUUUUAACCUGAUAAUGUUGGUAGCAUAUAUUUGUACUACACGUUAUUGUGCUCUUAUUAGCAAAUUUCUUCCGGAAUGUUAUCUGUAUAAUCACUUGUGUAGUAUUUAUCAAAAAGACACCGUCCUAUUGCAUGGUUGCAGUACGAGAUUCUUUAGGAUUGCCGUUUUCCUUACUUUUUUAAUAGGCUAUGAGAGACAAUUUCUUUUCAGCUUCUUCUUAGAUAUGCAAAUGACGUUAUUUCUCCGGUUUAUUGAUUGUUUUGGCAUAGAAGGAUGAUGAGAUUGUUAGUAUACAGAUGUUGCUAGCUUUUAUUGAGCAGUCAAAAGGAGAGAAGUCUCCGCAAAAUGUAACCGAUCAAGAGAUUCUUGAAAGGUGGGACACCAUUCCUGUCUUUGUGGUUGAUCUAAAUCAUACUACAUCCGAUAGAAAAUGAUUAAAACAGAUUCCUUUUAUGUUAUUGUUAUUGUUCUCUUGCAAUUGAACAAAAAGUUAGAUCUUCUCUCAUCUCUAGAUUUAAAAGUUAAAGUAGAUGUUCCAUUAAAAGAAUAUUCCUUUAUAACACGCAUCGAAAGAUCAACAACAAGUGGUAAGGUAAUGAAUACACUGAGGCUGCAUGCAAGUCCCUCUUCACAUUAGAUCAACUGCCAAAUUAUAAAAAUGUAACCUCACAAGGUACUAUAAAGAGAUAACAGGGAGGUGUAUAUUAUCUUUUAUGAGAAAAAGAAGCUUAUAAGAGCAUUAGUAUACAAGCUUUAUUGUUUUUUUUUAGAACGAAAAGAAAACAGAGAUUGAAAGAGCAAAAGAGGGGAUUUUUAAUUAUCCAGAAAAGGGAAUGAUGGGACCAAAGUCGGCAAUAGCAGUUUUGAGUCUCACUAUUAAAUGCACUUUUACUGAACAAACAAAAACAAUGCAACCAUAUAAAACUCUUCAUUAAUAUAUUACCCGUGUCAACAUUUCUAUUUGUUCCUCUUCUCUGUUCUUAUGUGGGUUUUUUUCCUUCUAGUGAGGAUAUUGAUUUAUUCGAUGGAGGAGACAAUAAAAAUAUCAACUAUUGAUUUUGCCAAAAAAAAAUUGUCACUUAAUUUAUUGUGAUUGAUUUGGAAAAUUACAUUGAUGAUUUGCUUGGCUUUGUAUGAAUGCAUAGUAAUACAUACAAUAACCAUUCACACUAUAUUUUUACCAAGCUUGACAAUGUUUCCUACCAACAUUAUUUAAAAUGAAUGAUAGUGUAUCUCAGUAGUUUCGUCAAUAAAUGAGGAAGCUAUGCUUUAUAAAUUAUGAUUAUUCAGAAAUAUUUAUUGCUAUUUCAGUCAUAUUUUUAAGAUAGAUUUAAAUUAAUAAAAUUAUAUCAUAAUUUAAAAUGUUGGGCCCGUGCUUAGCACGGGCAAGAACCAUCUAGCCUAUUUAGAAAUGGGAGUUUGGAGGACCAACAUUGCACUAAAGAGUUGGACUAAAAGCUAUAGAAAUUGUACAUUGAGGCCCACCAAAAAUAUGAACUAUUCUUUUUUCUACUUUCCAUUCUCCCCUUUUACUCUUUUUAGUUUAUCUUUCAUCUUAAAUUUUUCAUAGAUCUUUAAAUUAUUAUGAAUUAUUAAUUAUUAUGAAUUAUAAUGUUUUGAUUUUUACGUAGUUUACAAAUAUAUAUAUUUCAUUUUAAAAAAAUUGAAGAUAUCAUACGCAAAUUUAUGGUCAAACUUAAACUAUUUGAUGCUUGAGAAAUAAAAAGUGUCACAUAAAAUGGGACAGACGAAAGAUAACUCUCAAUUAAAUUUAUUUCACUUUUUAGUUUCCAUUUUUAACAUAAUUUUUGAAGCUAGAUUUCUACGAAUUCUAAAGUAGACCCAUUUAAAUUUGACUUUUUGGUUUUAAAUUAGAGAACUUGGCUUCACUUUGCACGAUCAUUAAAAUUAAAUUUUUUUGAUUAAUUUUAUAUUUACUCUGUUGUUUAAUCGUAAUAUUAUUAUUUGUUUAAUAAUAUGAAGAUUGUGAAAAAAAAAAACCUUCACAAAUUUUACAUCUAUUACAAAUUUUACAUCUAUUAAAUGAGGAAGAAUAUAUUUUUUAUCAAAUAAGUUAAAAUAUAUUUGCUAAUAACAAAUUCUUCCAUUGCAUGAAGUUCAUCCUUUAAUAUAUAAUAUAUAUUUCGGUCUACCAUUCUCCUUAAAUGUCUAAGAAAUAUCUCAUAAUGUCAAAUAAGACUGUAAUACUCCCUCUGUCCCUAAUUACUUGUUUACUUUUCCUUUUAUAGUUGUCUCUAAUUACUUGUCCAUUUUGACAAAUGAAGAAAGAAUAUUUUUUUACCUAUUAUACCCUCAAUUAAAUGACUAAUUACUUUGAAAAUUGCAGAACUUUUCAUCUACUUCAUAAUUAAUAUGGGUAAAAUGAUAAACUCACUAUGUCAUUAAUUGAUUUCUUAAUAAAUGUGUAAAUUUAAAAGUGUACAAGUAAUUAGGGACAGAUGGAGUACUAAACAAAUACAACAGCAAAUGAAAUUUAUAUUAAAAAUAUAUUGAAUAAUGAUGUAAUGAUACCUUAAUAGAAUUUCCUAUCCAUUUAAAAAAAAAUUCACCCUUUCAAUUUCGUUAUAUCUUCUUAUUUAGUAGAAGAAUCAUCAUUUUAUUAUAUUCUACUCCACCUUAAUUGUACCAUCAGAGUUUUAAGAAUAAACAUUAAAUUUUAAAUCGAAAUAAUAAAUCAUUGAAAAAUAACAGAAAAAAUAAUAAUAGUAUAUGAAAAUUAAAAUAAGGUGCAACAAAAGCCUUUUCGCGAUAAUUUUUUGAAAUAUAUUGACAACAAUUAAAAUGAAGCUGUUAUUUUAUCUUUAAAAUUAAGUUUGAUUGAAUUGAAUUAGUACAAUGAAAAAAAAUAUUAAACUAAUAACUUUUGCAUGUUAUUAAAUGCAUUUUAUUUUUAAUUCAGUAGUAGAUUAAAAGUUCCGAAUUAGGAUAUUAAAAUAAUAUCUUACUCUCUCCUUAAUUAUUAUGGUAUUGCAAACAUUUAUUUUCCUUAAAUCGUGAUUCAUUUACAGUUAUAUCCAAUUAAUUUCUAAUGUAUUGAAUGUGGUUAUGGGAUAUUGAAAUAAUAUCUUCAUUUUUCCUUAAUCAUAAUAAAAUUAUAAUUUAACAUUUAUUUUUCUGAAAUGAUAAUUUUGUUUAAUUCCUAGAACAUAUUGUUUACUAUAUUGAAUAUUGAAUGUAAUUAUAAUAAAACAUAUUGUAUUUAGUAUGACAAAAGANNNNNNNNNNNNNNNNNNNNNNNNNNNNNNNNNNNNNNNNNNNNNNNNNNNNNNNNNNNNNNNNNNNNNNNNNNNNNNNNNNNNNNNNNNNNNNNNNNNNNNNNNNNNNNNNNNNNNNNNNNNNNNNNNNNNNNNNNNNNNNNNNNNNNNNNNNNNNNNNNNNNNNNNNNNNNNNNNNNNNNNNNNNNNNNNNNNNNNNNNNNNNNNNNNNNNNNNNNNNNNNNNNNNNNNNNNNNNNNNNNNNNNNNNNNNNNNNNNNNNNNNNNNNNNNNNNNNNNNNNNNNNNNNNNNNNNNNNNNNNNNNNNNNNNNNNNNNNNNNNNNNNNNNNNNNNNNNNNNNNNNNNNNNNNNNNNNNNNNNNNNNNNNNNNNNNNNNNNNNNNNNNNNNNNNNNNNNNNNNNNNNNNNNNNNNNNNNNNNNNNNNNNNNNNNNNNNNNNNNNNNNNNNNNNNNNNNNNNNNNNNNNNNNNNNNNNNNNNNNNNNNNNNNNNNNNNNNNNNNNNNNNNNNNNNNNNNNNNNNNNNNNNNNNNNNNNNNNNNNNNNNNNNNNNNNNNNNNNNNNNNNNNNNNNNNNNNNNNNNNNNNNNNNNNNNNNNNNNNNNNNNNNNNNNNNNNNNNNNNNNNNNNNNNNNNNNNNNNNNNNNNNNNNNNNNNNNNNNNNNNNNNNNNNNNNNNNNNNNNNNNNNNNNNNNNNNNNNNNNNNNNNNNNNNNNNNNNNNNNNNNNNNNNNNNNNNNNNNNNNNNNNNNNNNNNNNNNNNNNNNNNNNNNNNNNNNNNNNNNNNNNNNNNNNNNNNNNNNNNNNNNNNNNNNNNNNNNNNNNNNNNNNNNNNNNNNNNNNNNNNNNNNNNNNNNNNNNNNNNNNNNNNNNNNNNNNNNNNNNNNNNNNNNNNNNNNNNNNNNNNNNNNNNNNNNNNNNNNNNNNNNNNNNNNNNNNNNNNNNNNNNNNNNNNNNNNNNNNNNNNNNNNNNNNNNNNNNNNNNNNNNNNNNNNNNNNNNNNNNNNNNNNNNNNNNNNNNNNNNNNNNNNNNNNNNNNNNNNNNNNNNNNNNNNNNNNNNNNNNNNNNNNNNNNNNNNNNNNNNNNNNNNNNNNNNNNNNNNNNNNNNNNNNNNNNNNNNNNNNNNNNNNNNNNNNNNNNNNNNNNNNNNNNNNNNNNNNNNNNNNNNNNNNNNNNNNNNNNNNNNNNNNNNNNNNNNNNNNNNNNNNNNNNNNNNNNNNNNNNNNNNNNNNNNNNNNNNNNNNNNNNNNNNNNNNNNNNNNNNNNNNNNNNNNNNNNNNNNNNNNNNNNNNNNNNNNNNNNNNNNNNNNNNNNNNNNNNNNNNNNNNNNNNNNNNNNNNNNNNNNNNNNNNNNNNNNNNNNNNNNNNNNNNNNNNNNNNNNNNNNNNNNNNNNNNNNNNNNNNNNNNNNNNNNNNNNNNNNNNNNNNNNNNNNNNNNNNNNNNNNNNNNNNNNNNNNNNNNNNNNNNNNNNNNNNNNNNNNNNNNNNNNNNNNNNNNNNNNNNNNNNNNNNNNNNNNNNNNNNNNNNNNNNNNNNNNNNNNNNNNNNNNNNNNNNNNNNNNNNNNNNNNNNNNNNNNNNNNNNNNNNNNNNNNNAGAGAUGCCACAUCAAAUUGUCAAUAUUCAGCUUUAUAUAUACAUAUAUAGGUUCAUGUCCUUAGAUGUUAUUUUAUUACUUUAGCUGGCAUCGACAUUUUUGUAAAUCUUAUAUCUACUUUGGAACAUUUUAUAAUGUGGCACAGACUGACUAUUAAGAUCAUAAAUUUAAAAAUAAUAAAAUUUAAUUUAUUAUAAUACUAAUAUCAAUAUCAUNNNNNNNNNNNNNNNNNNNNNNNNNNNNNNNNNNNNNNNNNNNNNNNNNNNNNNNNNNNNNNNNNNNNNNNNNNNNNNNNNNNNNNNNNNNNNNNNNNNNNNNNNNNNNNNNNNNNNNNNNNNNNNNNNNNNNNNNNNNNNNNNNNNNNNNNNNNNNNNNNNNNNNNNNNNNNNNNNNNNNNNNNNNNNNNNNNNNNNNNNNNNNNNNNNNNNNNNNNNNNNNNNNNNNNNNNNNNNNNNNNNNNNNNNNNNNNNNNNNNNNNNNNNNNNNNNNNNNNNNNNNNNNNNNNNNNNNNNNNNNNNNNNNNNNNNNNNNNNNNNNNNNNNNNNNNNNNNNNNNNNNNNNNNNNNNNNNNNNNNNNNNNNNNNNNNNNNNNNNNNNNNNNNNNNNNNNNNNNNNNNNNNNNNNNNNNNNNNNNNNNNNNNNNNNNNNNNNNNNNNNNNNNNNNNNNNNNNNNNNNNNNNNNNNNNNNNNNNNNNNNNNNNNNNNNNNNNNNNNNNNNNNNNNNNNNNNNNNNNNNNNNNNNNNNNNNNNNNNNNNNNNNNNNNNNNNNNNNNNNNNNNNNNNNNNNNNNNNNNNNNNNNNNNNNNNNNNNNNNNNNNNNNNNNNNNNNNNNNNNNNNNNNNNNNNNNNNNNNNNNNNNNNNNNNNNNNNNNNNNNNNNNNNNNNNNNNNNNNNNNNNNNNNNNNUUAUUAUUUGGACCUUCUUAACAUCUUUAGAAAAAACCCUACACUUUUCUACUAAAUUACAUAUUAUGCCUUCUAUCAUUGAGUAUAGUGGGGUCCAUUUAAUUUUACAACUGACAUGUAUACAAUGAUAACUUUAUUGAGUUUCUAUAUAUUUCCAUUUUUAUUCUCUACAUAUUAAAUUGUUUAAAUUUAAUAUAGUUAAAUAAUUUAAUAAAAUUUUAUUAUUUAGCUUUUAUAUUCAAAACAAAUUAUUUUUUAAUAUUAUAUAUAUCAUUAAAUAACUAUAUAAGAUUAUUAAUAGUCAUAUUUAUAUUUUUAAAGUAUAAUUAAUAAAAUUAUUUUUUUAAAUAAACUCCUAAUAAAUAAUUUAUUAAUAUGACUAUUAAUAAUCUUAUACUUUAAAAAUAUAAAUAUGACUAUUAAUAAUCUUAUAUAGUUAUUUAAUNNNNNNNNNNNNNNNNNNNNNNNNNNNNNNNNNNNNNNNNNNNNNNNNNNNNNNNNNNNNNNNNNNNNNNNNNUAUAUAUAUAUAUAUAUUUGUUUUGAAUAUAAAUGGUAAAUAAUAAAAGUUUAUUAAAUUAUUUAACUAUAUUAAAUUUAAACAAUUUAAUAUGUAGAGAAUAAAAAUGGAAAUAUAUAGGAACUGAAUAAAGUUAUCAUUGUAAAAUUAAAUGGACCCCACUAUACUCAAUGAUAGAAGGCAUAAUAUGUAAUUUAGUAGAAAAGUGUAGGGUUUUUUCUAAAGAUGUUAAGAAGGUCCAAAUAAUAAAGCUGAUAGUACAAUUUUUUCUAUGCAAUACUUAUCACUUUGAGAAGUUGGAAUGACAAAAAUAUCCCCACUUGCCAAUUGAAUGACCAAUAAGGAGCCUUUGAAACUCUCUCUUCUAAUAUAUAUAUAUUUUAUAUUAUAUUGAUCAUAGACUUAUAUGAAGUUUGAGUUAGUUUGACUAUUUUAUUUACUUAAUCUACAAAUAAAUAAAAAAUGCAUCUAGUCAAAUUUACAAUAAAAAAACAUAAUUAUAUGCUUAUCUGUAUUUGUGACUAUUAUUGACAAUAUAGAUUUCUAAAAUCUCUUCCCUUUUGAUCAUUCAAAUCAUAUAUAUAUUAGCGUUUGAACAAAAAUAACUUUGGUUCUAUUUCUCAAUUAUAAACUUUUAUAAAAAAUUUGGCAUGAAUUUUUCUAAGUUCAUUUCUCCAAUGAAUUAUUUUGAAAGACUGUCAGAAGAGUGCAUAUUUGAAAUUAUUUUAAAUCAACUCCAGCGGAUGCAAUAAGAUCAACAAUUUUAUCAAAAGGAUUCAAACUUGCUGCAUAAUCAGAUGAAAUUUGGGGGAAGAUUUUUUUUCCUUUGAUCAUCAAGGAACAAUUGAUAGAUAUGAGUUUCCUUUUUAUUUGCAACACCAAAAAAGACUUAUUUUUUUGUGUUGCAAACAAAAGGAAACUCAGAUCUAUCAAUUCUUUCUUGAUAAUCAAAGGGCAGAAAUCUUGGAAUUUAAUAUUAGAUAAUUUGGGUUGGGAUUAAGUGUUGCCCAUUUAAUAUGGGUGGACAAUGGUAUUUAAUAUAGUUAAUUAUGAAGAGGUCUGUAUGUGUAUCGCAUCUGCUGAAGUUAAUUUUAAAAUAAUUUGAAAUAUGCAGCCUUUCAAAAUAAUUCAGUGGAGCAAACAAAAGGAAACUCGGAUCUAUCAAUUAAUUCUUGAUAAUAAAAGGGCAAAAAUCUUCCCUAAAUCAGCUAUUAGGUCCACCACUAACCCUCCGCGUUCUUGAUCUUUCUCAUAAUCAGCUAUUAGAUCCACCACUAACCCAAAAAGAUCGACAUGAUUUUUUUAUAACACGUUUUUUGGCCUUUGUGAUUCUCCUAUUUUCCUUGAUGGAGGCAAACUCGUAAAAUUCAAUUUUGUUUUCGGUUAAUCGGAUUAUAAAUACAAUACGAUACAUUUUUGAUACUGUUAUUGAAGAGUUUAUUUUCUCUGAGUUUUUUUCUUAGUAAGGGUGGGAAGAAGUGUUGGUGUAUUAUACCACAAAUACAAAAUAUUACAGUUGAAAAUAAAAUGACAAAAUUGAAUAAACAAAUCUUUAGGCUGAGGCGCGGCUAUCUUGCUCUCUUUAAAGAGAUUCAAGCCCAUUGCGGUAUAGUCUAUACUGAUCCAGCAAUAACACUCUUGACUUGUCCCCUCGAGGUUACAACAACCCAACAACGUCGUAUAACUCAAACAACUCCGGAUUAGAUGAAGAGUCCAAAGCUCCACAAAAAGAACAUCUUCCUUCAACAUAUAUAUAUAAAUACUCUCUUUUGUAUAUAGUGAAUAUAGUUCAAGACUUAGAACGUUUUCUUUUUCUCAAUUCUCUCUUUCACUACGACACAUUAAAAUAUUAUUUCACACUUCUCAUCUUUCUUGAGAUAUUUCACAAAGGAAGAAACACCACUAUUUAUAGGUGAAAAAGUCUUCCAUAUAAUCAAUAGGUAGAAUGAGGGGUAGUAAUAUUUUGGUAGAUAAAUGUGAUAAAUGUUACAUGAGUUACAAGAAACUAAUGGUCAUAUGAGUUACAAGAACUAAUGACAAUAUUAGUUACAAGAAUGUCUUCUACCACAAUUUAUAUCCACUAACUUAUGCACUUAAUAUUUUAUUUUAAUAUUAAAAUGCAUAUACACCAACAAGAAGUGUUUUAUGAUAUCACCAAGAGAACUUAUAGUUUGGGGGAAUGAUCAUACACACUUUUGGCAAUGGAAGGAACACCCUUAUUCCAGGUUUAUCUCUUUUAGUUUUCUUAAUUUGGUCUAAAACUUCAUCGCUCUUUCUUGUAAAUGUUUUAUGAAAUGCACUCAUUCUUUCUCUCUUUUUGCCUAUAUUUCAAAGACUAUCUAGUUAUUUAUUUGGUUAUUAUAAAGAUUCUAUUUUCAAUUGUAUUGAUUAAAGAAAUUCAUUUUAAUAAGAAUAUAUAUAUUAUGUACACCGAGAGUAUAACAAUAACCUGCAUUAUUAUAUUAAGUUAACCUAUCACAAUAUGUAAUUUUUCAUAUCAAUUCUGAUAUGGUAACCUAUAAAAUAAAUUAAGAACCUACUUUAACAAGUUAAAUUACUGUAGAGUUGUUAUAGAUUGAGUAGGAGAGCCCAACCAAAAAUACUAGUCUAUUAAAUGGGAGAGCCCAACCAAAAAAGACUAGUGUAUUAGGUGGGAGAGACUACUGAAGCCUAUCGCCCCAUAGUAUUUUUUUUUAUCUAAUUAAUGAAAGAAAAUUGGCACACAAUUAUUUUCCUAGCUUAGUAAUGCCCUCUUGGACAAACGAAAGACUACAAAAUGGGAUGAAGAGAGAAGAUUACGGCCAAGAAAAUCAAAAGAAUCAACAUCAAAGAAUCUAGCGAUCCAAAAAAGAGGCAAACCAAGGUUUAACUAACUGACAAAGGGACAGGUUCUACAACUACCGAAUGAAAGGACACUACACUAAAUAUUGUUGUUACAAGAAAUCUAAAGGUAACAUAGCCACUUCUUCUCGAUACAAGAAAGGCUAUGGACAAGAAGGUUAGGAUUAAGAGACCUCUUACACAGUUGAAGAAAGAAAGCAAUUAAUAGGAGAGCUCGUCACCUCUCACUCUGACUGUAACACCCCAAAAAGUUUGUAAGCUAAACUAGGGCUAAACGCGAGGGUUAACGUCAAGGAAAAAGGGGCAAGGGUAUAUCAUACAUUGAACUAGAUGAAGGAAAACAUUGAGGUUACCUUGACCCACUUGGUGAUGGGAAGUACCAUCGCCAAAGUGACUUGGCAAUUAGCCAAGUGAGCCACCAUCACCUAUUGAGCAGCCCUCCUUGGCCUAGCUACUGGAAUAUUGGGCGAGGUAGGUCGGGGCUCGCCAACCCUGUUGGCGCAUCGCCCAAAGGCCCUGCCCAUCGCCUAGUAAGCUGCCUCCAAGUUGAGCAUUCCGGAAAUUUGGGCGAGCCAAGGGACCACUUGGCGAGCUAAAGCGGGCAGGUUGGCAACUUUUAAAUGGGAAUCUUAGGGGUCUUCGGUUAUUUUCCCUAAAUUGAAACUACAUUGUUUUACUCUUUCCCUAGUAAAGUAUAUAAGCUUUUUAGACUCAAAAUUCCCCAAAUUAAGUCAUUCUCCCAAGAAUCCAAAAGAAAACAUCCGAAGUUCAUCUUCUACACAAAAUUUCUCUCUCUAGAACUCAAGGAAGAAGAAGUGUAAAAUUGGAGCUAGGGCUUGAAGAGACAAGGGAUUUUUCACUCAAUUUCUUUGGAGAAUCAUAACUAAGGUAUGGUGAUACGCUCAAAUUACACUUCCCUAAAGAAGUAUAAACGAUCGUUAUCAAGUAAAGAACCCAACUUGGAGGUUGGGGUCGAUCCCACGAGGAAUAUGGUUUAGACUUAAACUUAACUUACGAUUAUAUUCGUUUAGUCAACGUAUUUCCGAGACAAGUAAGUAAGGGUGGGGGGAUUUGUGAAACAAAUUCUUGAAAUUAUGUGAAUAAUUAGUGAGCAAGAUUCAAACUCUAGUUGUUAUCAAGAUGAGAGAGAAACUAGGGUGUACGUGUUCCCCAUAAACUCAUNNNNNNNNNNNNNNNNNNNNNNNNNNNNNNNNNNNNNNNNNNNNNNNNNNNNNNNNNNNNNNNNNNNNNNNNNNNNNNNNNNNNNNNNNNNNNNNNNNNNNNNNNNNNNNNNNNNNNNNNNNNNNNNNNNNNNNNNNNNNNNNNNNNNNNNNNNNNNNNNNNNNNNNNNNNNNNNNNNNNNNNNNNNNNNNNNNNNNNNNNNNNNNNNNNNNNNNNNNNNNNNNUUUUAUUUUGCCACUUACUUAACUUCAAAACUUGAGAUACAACCCUUGAACACUUAAAAUAUGAUAUACCACAUCAUUUUUUAAUUUAUUACUCACCCUCCUUGUCUUUCCACGAAGAUACGAGUUAAUUUAGACGUUUUGGAAAGUCGGGGUGUUACAGUUUGCAACUGCUAAAAAGACUUUUAAACUAAAGAAUUAUCAAUGCAUGCAAUAGCACUAUUCAAGAAUUACUUAGUUACUAUUCAUACUUUGUUAAUCGCUCAUGGUUCCCACAACCCUAGUUGUGGAUUUAGUUACCCAUAGUAGUAAGAACACAAUUCAUAUUUGUAGAAGGGGAUUUCAUGAACUUACGUAAUGAGAAGAAGAAAUCCAAAAGCCCAACUUGAAUUGCGAAGUUAAAAUUUUCAAAAUGAACUUAGGAAAUCAAGAAUUGCAAGUUAAUCUCCAAAGCCAAAAACUAGAACUAAAGUAAUAGUGUCUAACCCCCAAAAACGAGGUUUACAUUCCCUAUUUAUAGAAAAACAUGUCCUAAUUAAAAAGGAAAUGAAAUAAGGAAAUAAAGUGUCUAGACGCGGUUGUCAUUGACGAGACAGACCUACGGACCAUGGUCUGACCUACGGUCCAUAGGUCCCUUCCGUGGUUUGGGACUUGGGCAAAUUUUCAGAAGCUUGGAACUCCAACUCUCAGUAACGAAUGACGGCUCAACAACACGGACCGUUACUCGAUCCAUGGUCCGUUGAUCCCCCUCUGUGGUCUCAUACUUAGUUUGAUAAAAAUUAGUUACUCGAACACCUUCUUUGAUUCAGUUGACGGACGUGCAGGAUGGCCCGUAGGUCGAACUACGGUCCGUUGAUCAUGGUCAUGGUUCAACACUAUUUAAGAAUUCCUUGAUAAUUUCUUCAAGCCCUUACCAUCAAUCUACGCCCUUCACCUACAGAACGUGACUGGAUCUACGGUCCGUAGGUGGCAAUUUCUGCAAUAUUUCUUCAGUUGUCUCCUAACCUCCACGUUCGAACUUAUUUCCUACAAACCAGAUCAAAACACAUUAAUACCAAUACAAAAUGGAUCUAGACACACACAACUCUUAAGCGAAAUGUAUUAAAAAUACCGUAAAUUCACAGUAUAUCAUCACCCUCAACUUAAACUCGUUGUUUGUCCUCAAGCGAUGCACUAAGACUCUAAAUGACACUUGUGUAUAAGCAUACAUUCAAGCUCAAGCAAUCACAUGGCUUUCUGUCCGAACUCUCUUUUUAAGUGCAAAUCGUUUCUCCUAGACUCAACAAGCUAACUCAUGCGGAUCAAAAUAUGACAAAAAUCGACCAAUAGAUACACAACAUACACUUUUUUCACAAUCACAAAGGUACCAAGUUUCCGUACUUCAAACGAAAUCCUUUUUUCACACAAGGAAUAUGAUUUUGAGUACAAGGAUUCAUUCAACACUCACACUCAGAAGUAACUUCAAGCACAGUUCGUGUUCAAUACCAUAGACUUGCCCUUAUUUUUACUGCUUAGACUCUCCAAACUAGUUUCUAGGAUCACUAUAAGACUUUCUUAGAUUGUAACGUAGUCUCAGGGUCAGGUGUGGUACAUUUGGGUACUUUUUAGUGACUUUCUGCCCUCCUUGACAUUACAUUGGCUUUUUACCUCUUCCUUGACCUACUCUGGGCAACUUUUCAUCCCUUUUUCUUUCCCUUGUCUUUUCAACCAAGGAUGCGACUUUUGACUUUGUGACACUUGUUUAUAUACAUUUUUUUCACUUUAUUUUUCUUUAUUUCUUGUCACGCUUUCACUUAUCACAUUCUUUUGCCUUUUCGCACAAAGUCACAUCCUCUUUCUUUCUUUUUCUCUUUUCAACACAAAACUCUUUUCAUACCCUUUUUUCCUUAGGUUUCCUCUUUCAUAGCCACCCUCAACUUUUGCAUUGUGCCUUAGUUGAGGUGCAUAAUGUCCGAUGUCGGACUAGGGCCAAGAUCAAAGUCACUUUUGACUUAGCCACCCUCAACUUAGGGUUUUGGCCUAAGUCAAGGUGCACAUGUCCAAGGAGGGACCGGGGCCAAGAUAACAUUUUAAGGGAAUGUGAGUUAGGUGAAUCAAAAGAAAUGGUCAAUUUUAGGCUCAAAUAUUUGGAUCAAAAGGGAACAAUGCUACCAUUUGGCUAGAUCAUUUUAGGCUUAAGUGGACUAAUUUGAACAAUGGCCUAUGAUCACUUCCCAACUUCUAGCCUAGAUUAUCCUAGCAGGACCAACGGGGUAAGUUCUAGAUUGGCACAAAACUGUCUGAACAUUCAACUAUCCUUACAAACUCUUGGCACCUUGUUUCAUUAUCAGAUUAUAAGAUUACCCAAUUAAAGUUUUUAGCUUAAGUCAUGGUAUCACAUCGGCUAUUAUCAUGUCAUAUUCAGAGCCAACACAUUCAACUCAUUCUAGCCUACAAAUUUUAGCACAUAUUGUUCUUUUGGAUGUGUAUCAUUUUCUUGUUUUAUGCUCACGCCAUCAUGCUUUAUUCUUUCUCAUGAUCCUACACAUACAAUCCUAACACAUGCCGGUUCAACAGAAAGAAAAACAAUCUCUUGGAGGAAAAGAACACACACAAGAAAACCCCAAAAGAGGACUAUGAGUUGGGUUACUCAGACUUCACCCUCUCACUCAUAAUCCAUUUACCCCACCCCCAAUGAAAUAAAGUGCUAUUGUCCUCAAAGCACACAAAAAUAAGUAAUAAAGAGUAGGGUGAAAGUGAAGCAAACCUGUGGCCCAAAUGCACCAAAGAACUCAACAAGCGAGUGGAUCCGGUUUCCUGAAGCCCGUUGGAUCAACAUGGGUAACGCCAUCAGUAACGCUCCCAUCUAUCAUCUCAGCACCAUCAGUGGUGCUCACAUCAUCUCUCACAACAACAACAACCUCAAUAGUCUCGAAGCUUCAAGAGCACCCUCAUGAACCCUCUAUUGGCGCAACUCUUCGUCUACAAUAGAUGCUCUCCUAUCAUACGUAGUAUGCUGGUGCUCCCUCUUCUUUUCCCUCGCAUCCUCAGUGGCAUCAGAAGUGUGGCUGAAAUGGUGCCUCUUCCCUUGGGCACGACUGGACUCGGACUGCGGUAUGUCCUCGCUAGAACGAGCAUGUAACACCGUAUCAUCAACCGGUGCUAUAGGUACGGACUCUGGCGCAUCCAUGGAUGGGGCUAGGAUGGCAUCAAGAUCGGCCCAAAAAUGAUCCAACUCAGUCCGAAAAGAGAAAAUAUCUGUGAUGGGGGCUAGUCGCUCGAGGACUCUCAGAUCAAAGGCAUCCAGGCGCUUAUUAACAGCCUGGACCUUCAGGUUCAUCAUGUGCUCCAUCCUCCUCUCCAUCCUGGCCUCAAACUCUGAGAUAGACCGUUGCAUCCAAGGCUUCACAUGAUGAAGCAGUGUGGCCAUCUGAGCCUCUAAUUUCUGAACUCGAGCCAAGGGCACAACAACAGCUCCUAAAGAUGGGGUGGAUUUGGAUGAGCUAGGGUCCUGACUGGCGGCCUGAGAUGGGGAGGCUGGGGCAUCAUCAAUGUGGGCUAGAGGGGCAGGGUCCUCACCCUGCAUCUGAUCCACAUAAGCUACUAAAUCUGCUCCUAAUGGAGGCACCUCAAUCUGUGGACCACGUCGUGGGGCAGCUACGUUGGCCACAUCCCAAAUAAGGCCGAUGUCAAGGGUUCCGAUCGCUUGUAACAAUUUGUCACAAUGCCAGAUAGGCACCCCAGAAUCCCUGCACAACUAGACGAUCAUACACGGGAAGGGUAAAGUAGUGGUAGACCUGAACGCCCUCUCAUGGUUCUCUGCCAACACCAUGCGGGCAAAGUCGAUCUCGAACCCAGCUACCAAAGCCGCAACCAUCACCGCUCUAUCCCAAGUAAGCGCAUGAUCGGCCUUAGUGGGCGAUACCCUGUUCCUUACCAAAAGCCAGAAGAACUUGUCUACCAAAUUUAGGGUGGCCUUCCGAAUACCCAAGCGCGGUGUGCUGACCCACUCCGCGCACUCUUCGUCCACAGCUAUGUACCUGGCCAACCAAAGUAAUACGACUUCCCUCUACUCUGCAUUCCACUGGAAUGCUCCACUUCUCACAAUGUCCCACUGGUAGUCAAAUUCUACGGUGUUGAGUGCCCAAGUGGUGCUUGGACCAUAGAGGAAUUGGUUGAUAGUGAUCUGCGAUAUGUCCAUCGAAAAACCCUGAACUAGAGUGGAUCUGAGAGGGGCCUAGGCUGUGGGCUUGGACCGUUUGUCGAUAGAACCACAGAGUGUGGCAGCAUAGGAGGCAUAGAACUCCCUCACUAUCUCCUCGCUAUAAGUCCCUGGGCUCUGAGCCAUCCACUCGCAUUUGUGUUGCUAAAAGAGCCGAUGUAUGACGGGUAUGGUGUGUAGGCUCCCCGUGAGAACUCUGCGCUCUUCUGUGAUAAGCCGGGCCGUUGAUGAGUCCACAAAUUAGACUCAUUCAGGGAUAUAUUUUAAUAGAAAUUGUGUCCUCGAAUUCUUAUUUUAUCUCAAUAUCUGAUGAAAACCCUUAAGUUUUAGGUAUUUGAAGUUUUAAGGAAAGCAUGGACACUACGUUGCAAAAGAACAAAAAGGCUGAAAAGAACAAAGAAAUGAAGACUUGAGGAUCGCCGAGUCCACUUGGUGAGUCGCCGAAGGGUCUUACUUCACCUUUUGUUCCAGUGUGCUGAUCCUUGACGAAAAGGAUCAAGUCGGCAGAAACAAGGAGCAGUUGGCGCAUCGCCGAGCAGUUCCGCGAAGCAGUUCCGCGAAGCAGUACCAUGCCACCUAAUGAACCAGAGCAUGAAGAUGCUGAAGGCUGGUGCAAGAUGGCGAAGAACUACACCAAAGGGCGAAUCACUGAGUUGAUCGGCGAUUCCGACUAAUGAUACCGAACGAUCCGCUGCAGUACAAAUUUGUGAUAACUAUAAAUACUAGUCAGAGUUUUAGUUUUAGUAUGGACAAAUUUUUACUCGUUAAUGUCUUUAGCUACGACUAGUUAGAACUGAAUUUAAUUUUUCUAUAAAUUCUCAAAACAACUCUCUUGGGACGAUCCCAACUCUUGGUUGGGUUACUAAACUAUUGUACGAUCGUAGACACUUGCAUCAGAAGUUGUGUCUUGAUUACGCAAACAUCAAAAUGGAGCCGCUGCCGAGGAGUGGUGUUAUUUUAUAACUUUUAGAUUAGUAGGAAUUUUGUUCUUCUUAGUUGUAGUCUACCUACCUAAUUUUUAGUUUUGUUUUGUUUGCUGUGUGAAUAUUUCAGAAAGCAUGAGUGUUAAUGGUAGCAACGGUAGCCAGGUAGGCCACCAAGACGACAUCGGAAAUCUCAACGAUGUCCAAGAGCCCAAUAUCAAUGGCCCCCAUCUCAUGGGAGGUGUAGGAGCCAUCCGUUUACCCCAGCCGAGGGAAAUACAGUGUUUCACAUAGCGAGCACCAUGUUGCAACUCUUGCAACUGAAGGGACUUUUCAGCGGACUGGCUCAUGAAGAUCCUCACAAGCAUCUUCGAAAUUUUGUAGAUGUGUGCGGACCAUUCUCGUUCAAAAUCAUCUCUCAGGAGUUGGUUCGGUUGAGGCUAUUCCCUUUCUCGUUGAUGGGACAGGCAUGCAAGUGGAUAGCCGAGAUACCGCGUGAAUCCAUCGAUCACUUCUUGGGAGGAUUUGGUAGCCGCAUUUCAAGUGCAAUUUUUCCCUCCUUCGAAGAUGAUGUUACUGAGGGAUAGCAUCCAUAGCUUUAAACGUCUAGAAGGAGGGCCUCUGCACGAAACUUGGCUAAGGUUCAAAAAGUUGGUGCUGCAUUGCCCAACACACGAUUUGCCGAACAACGUGCUACUUCAAUACUUUUACCGGAGUUUAGAUUCGGUAAACAAAGGUGUCGCUGACCAACUCUCGCCUGUAGGAUUAAUGCAACAACCAUAUGUAGUAGCAGCCUAACUUUUAGAUGGCAUGGCAACCAUGAAUAGAGCGUGGUACACUCGCGAGGAUCAAGUCUCCCCUCUCACCUUCAAUCUAUCCAAGGAGCAGAUUGAAAAAGACAAUGAAAGAGACCAGAACAUGGACAAAAUCAUGACGCAGCUGUAUAUUUUAUCCAAAAAUGUCAUGGGGAAUGGUGCCCGUGGUGUCAACGUUGUGGGCGUCGGGUGUGCUAAUCUUGAGGAGAUGAAGUUUGAAGUCUUGUAUAACGAGGAUGUAAAUUUUCUAGCUAACCAAGGCGGUGGCUACCGCUCAAAUUACCCAAGGCAGGGUGGUAACCCAGGCUGGAAGGAUAGAGAUCGUGAAUGAAGGGACUGAAAUCCAAACUGGAAAGAUGGGGAGAAGGAUAGAUAUGUGCCUCCGCAUGAGCGCCAGAAGCCCAAGGAUACGGAAGGUGGUAGGUCUGAGGAUAUGCUCUCACAUAUCCUCAACAAAGUUGAAGGGUCAGAUAAAAUGUUGAAAGGAAUGAAAGAAGAUGUUUCUACACUUAGCCAGACCGUCACCUCCUAUUCUGUUUCAAUCAAGCAGUUGGAGACCCAGAUGGGUCAUAUCUCGUCUCACCUAAAUCUAAGACAGCAAGGGGGUUUGCCUAGUGAUACUAUGGCUAAUCCCAAGAGCGAGGUUUGAAGGUGAACUUGCGUCGUGCCACGACAUUAACUAAGGCGUUGUUUGGGAGGCAACCCAAAACCAUUUAUUACUUUAUUUUUCCUUUGAUAAAAUAAUAGUGUGUUGAUUGUGCAGAUGGAAUUAUGUAGAGUGAACGAACAGAGCAGGUUAGCAAGCAAUAGGACUAGUCCACGAGAUGCCGAUUGGUUCGACGACUCUGACCUAGACUGCCGGUAGGCCCAAAAAAUAUUCAUGAUGUGGUCUGUACAACUCGGCGAGAUCAAGAAGAUAUUGGCGAGCCGCCAACCAUAUCGGUGAUUGCGAUGAAGAUCGCCCUAUGGACCCUCAUGCUGUUUAAAGGUCCUGGAAAACUCGGCUAAUCAAGUUGUCACUCUGCGACUCACCGAGAGGGUUGGCGAUCGGAACUAAUAUGGCCGAAUAGAUGAAAACUGGACGGUCUCUCAGCCAAAGGUUUAAAAAAUUUCAUCUUCAUUUCCUUCCCUCACUUUUUCACCUUCCCAAACUCACACCUGCACUAUAGUUUUAUAUUACUUGCAUUUUUGGAGUAUUUUGGUUGAUUGAUUUGUGCUUGGAGUCGGAGUUCAUUGCUUCCCAGCAUCCCAAUAGCACAAAAGGUUAGUGUCCCGAACCCCAUAACUAUCUUGUCAAAAUCGUACUCAUUUGCAAAUAUUGUAAUCUUGUUGAAAUCUGUUGAACCUCCCCGAUUGGGUUUAAUUAUUUAUAUGUCGAUUUUUCUUCGAUAACCCUGCCUUUAUUGGCUAAACUAUGAAAUCUCAUUCUCCAAUGCAUCGAGUGGAGUUAAUGUGUCAUGACUGGUAUUCGUAUGUUAUGGGUCCUGGUCAAAUUUGUGCUUUUUGUGCUUAAAUUGCAUUUUUGGGGGUUGCGUGGCUGAUUUUGAGAAGUAGGGUAAAAAAUAGGCACGUUGGGUCAUUCGGCGAGCUCGCCAAACUAUUCCGCGAUUCACCUAAUUACCCUAUCUCACUCUUAUUAUCAUGCUUUAUUUGUUGUGGCAUCUGUAACUUUCGGUGAGAAGUAUGAAGUUGCCAAGAGCACUCGGUGACUCACCGAAAAUCAUCUUAUUCGCCCUUUGUCUGAAACCCUAACUCUUUCUGCACUGUGACCUUCGGUGGAUUGUCCGUGGCUCGCCGAAUGUAUUCGAUGGCAUGUCGAAUGGACUAUCUAGUCUUUCUGCAGCUGAAUGCCUGUAUUUUGGUUGUCAAAUAUGUUCUAACAUUAUCUCAAGACUUUGCAGACAUGGCCAGACCAAAAGUUGCAGGAAGAAGCAUGCCACCCAGACACAUAAGAGCACGAAAGUUCAGAAGAACUACAAGGAGCGUGAACAAGAAAGCCAAUUCGAGGAGGAGGAUGCCCAUCGACCCUAUUGUCCAUUCGUGGGCUCGAGGGUUUAGCAAUGCAAAACAUACCUUUGUGGCAGCUCACGAGUUGGACAAUAUGAUCGAGGCUAGUAUCGCUGCAGAAGCUGAAGCAGAGCAAAAAAAAAGAAGAGAACCAGAAGCAGAAUGACAACACUCCGGGUACUGAUGCCUAGACAGAUGGAGCGAAUGCUUAGACAUGAUCCCUUCUUCACCUCCCUCUCUGUCUUUCUUUAAUUGUCAUUUUGGAUACUUUUAUUUGCAUUUGAGGACAAAUGUUUUUAUUUGUGGUGGGGUCAGGCCCACACCUUUUUGUGUUGAUAGUCGUGUUUUGUUUAUAUUUGGGCUAUUUUGUUCAAAAUUGCAUUUAUACUGCAUUUUUGUGGAUGUUUGAGCUUAUGGCUCCCUUUUAUUUUACAUUGCAAAAUGAUUUUGACCCGUCCGAAAUUUUUUGCCACGUCUCAUGUAUUGAAUGUGGCUGUUCUUUUGUGAGAUUCAAUUCUCGGUUCCGAUUAAUACCGAUGACUUGAAUAGUUCUUACAAUCGAACGAACAUGAAUGUGUGGCUACAAUGAGGACAAAUGAAGUUGCAUAGACAAUAUGUGAACUCUUUGCAUCUCGUUGUGAUUAGUCAUUUAUCAAAUCGAUUCUCUUGUGAUGAUCAUUGCACACUAGCGAAAGUGUGGAGUCUUGUUUGACUAUAGUGUCAAUGCCUAGUGUUAUGAGCUUACUUUGAACCAUGCGUGAUAGAUCCUAGAAUUUUCCCCAUUGGUCUAGUCAACUAAGUUAUGCUAUAUCUUGAUAUGAUCUUAGGCAACUUCUAAGAGUGUGAGCCAAUUUGACAUAUACCUCUUUUAUGACCUACCUUGUGAGCGUGUGAUUCUCUUUUAAACACCCCUUGAGCCUUACCUUUCUUUGAAAGAAACUUGAUGAAAUCAUAACCUUUCAUUAUCCACUACCUAUAAUCCUCUUAAAUUGUGGUUAAUUGAUUAGCCAACGUGGGCCAAAAGCCUAAGUUGGGGGUAUUGUGAAAAGAUAAGGGCAAGUCAAGAACUGCAAGGAAAGUCUCCUUCGACCCAUGGUGUUAACAAAAAUGGAACCCUUCCAUAUAAAAAAAAAGAGAAAGAGAAAAACAGAAAAGAAUGAAAAAGAAAGUUGCAGAAUAAAGUGCAAAAGAAAGGGGGUUUCCAACACACUAUGGGAAAGUGAAUAAUAGGAAGACUUAUGAACACUAAAUAAAAUGAUGAAGGAAAAGGUAAGGAAGUGUUGUGAGCACCACAUUUCAUGAGGAUGAAAGUCACUAAGCCUAAAUGACCAAACCUUUGCACUCAGCCCCAUUACAAGCCUUGAAAAAAUCUUUUUGAUUUUGAGUAAGCUGAAGCAAAUGUUGAUUGGAAAAUAUGGGUAAACCUAUGGGUGAAAGCAUGCAUUGUGUUCAUCUUUGUGAGUGUGAGCGUUGCAUCUAAUUCCUAAGCUUUAAACUGCGAACCAUUGUAUGAAUAUGGAAUCAUUCUUUGUGUGAGGGCAUUUUGAACACCUCGGUUGAGCUUGAACUUGCAUUUGAAGCAAGUAUUGUGAGCAUGAGGUUCUUUGAUAUUUGUUGAGUCACAACUUGAAUCUUUGAGUGCACAUUUGAUCUUUGCAUAAGUAAAUUGAGUCUUGUUGUGUGCAUUCAUGAUUGAGUCUUGUGUAGCACUGUUCGGGACACCCUUUUUGAACGACUGAACUUGAGUUUGCUUGAGAACAAGCAAAAGUUUAAGUUGUGGGUGUUGAUGAGUCCACAAAUUGGACUCAUUCAGAGCUAUAUUUUAAUAGAAAUUGUGUCCUCAAUUUCUUAUUUUAUCUCAAUAUCUGAUGAAAACCCUUAUGUUUCUGGUAUUUGAUGUUUGAAAGAAAGCAUGGACACUACAUCGCAAAAAGGAGCAAAAAACCUGAAAAGAACGAAGAAAUGAAGGCCUGAGGAUUAUCGAGUCCACUUGGCAAGUCCCCGAAGGGUCUUAGUUCGCCUCUUGUUCCAGUGUGCUAAGCCCUGAAGAAAAUGAUCAAGUUGGCGGAAAAAGGUAGCAGUUGGCGCAUCGCCGAGAAGUUCUGCGAAAUAGUACCAUGUUUCCCAAUGACCCAGAGGACGAAGAUGUUGAAGGAUGGUGCAAGACGGCGAUGAACUAUACCACAAGGCGAUUCACCGAGUUGAUCGGCGAUUCUGACUAACGACGCCGAACGAUCCGCUGCAGCACAAAUCUGUGAAAACUAUAAAUACUAGUUAGAGUUUUAGUUUUAGUAUGGAACAAUUAAUAUAAUUUUAAGAUAGAACAAUACUUUUUGAUAUUUUUGCUCUAAGUUUGAGAGGGUUUUGAAGAAUUGAAGAAGAAGGGGGUUUCAUCUCCAAGGAUUUGGACUUGGGUCUCUUGGAUUCUUUAUUCUUGGCCUGUAACAAGACUUAAAUCUUCAAACCCAUUUGAAUAUAAGCUCAUUUAGGUAUAAAUUUAUAUCUCUUGAUGUGUGGCUAUAAACCCCAAUUCUUGAGGUGUGAUUUAGCGAAUAUGAGUUAAGAUAAUUAUUGGGUCUUGUUUACUGAUAGUUUAUUCGUAGUUUAAAUGUGAUUUCGUUUAGUGGUUGUGGAUGAAUUUAAUUAUUUUAUAGUUGCAAAUACAAGUUUAUUUAUGUGUUUUCGGCUUGCUCGAGAGAGAGGUCGUAAAACUAAAACCAAUAAAUUGAUGGCCGGUGUGCGUGGGUCGACAUGAGGUUCAGCUCGAGAGAGUGAACCCUAGUCCCAUGUCCACACACUCAGCUCGAGAGAUUGAGUGGGUUAAGGCGUAGGUUGGUCUUCAUGCGGCAAGUGGGUGUCCGAGAGGAACGCAUUUGAAACGGGGUAAGUUGCUCGACAGAGAACUUAUCCCCCUUAAAGUUUAGCCUAGUCACAUUAUUCUAUUAAUCUUCUAUCGAAAGCAUGUACCCAACAAUCUAGCCUAACCUGUAUUCCCGUCACAUCCCAAGUAUCCCCUCUCAUUGCUUAGAAAUUCUUGUUUAUUUUGCUGUUUUUACUUACUAGUGACAAAAACCCCCAUUGUUAAUUGAAAAUUUUGUGUCCCCCUUUAAUUUACAAUGUUUUUACUCGUUAAUGUCUUUAGCUACGACUAGUUAGAACUAAAUUUUAUUUUUCUAUAAAUUCUCAAAACCACUAUCUUGGGACGAUCCCCAACCUUGGUUGGGUUACUAAACUAUUGUAUGAUUGUAGACACUUGCAUCGGAAGUUGUGUCUUGAAUACGCAAACAUCAAAUUUGCUGUUUUUACUUACUAGUGACAAAAACCCCCAUUGUUAAUUGAAAAUUUUGUGUCCCCCUUUAAUUUACAAUGUUUUUACUCGUUAAUGUCUUUAGCUACGACUAGUUAGAACUAAAUUUUAUUUUUCUAUAAAUUCUCAAAACCACUAUCUUGGGACGAUCCCCAACCUUGGUUGGGUUACUAAACUAUUGUAUGAUUGUAGACACUUGCAUCAAAAGUUGUGUCUUUAUUAUGCAAACAUCAGUAAGGCUUGUAGUUAAAUAUUGUUGGGUAAAUCAAGCAUGUUUGAUGUUUGGCUUGUUUAAAUUUGAAUUUCGGGUCUGAAAUUGUUUCAUUGGCGAUUAUGCAUGUUGGGUUUGGUAUGGGUGAAGUGUAGGUAACCCGAAUUGGACUAAACAGCUUAAUUUACCCAAUGAUGGAUCUGGUGACAUCGUUCUUAAGGCAGAAGAUGUUGAUUGGUCGAUUCUAGACAAUUUGGGGGAAGUCUGACUAUCCCAGGGUUGGUAAUGAUAUGGGCUUGGUGUUAAUUGCAUAGAAUAUGGAUUUUAUUUCGUUAUCGUUGACUAUUUGUGGAAAAUUGGGGGUCGGGGUUAAAAUCUAGCAUGAGGGACCUGAUGGCGAGCAAAGUCGAGCUCGCCGAAUUAGUCGACGGUUCGCCAACUGACCCCUUACCUUGCCCUUUUACCCUGAAAUAUUGCUGUUGCAUUCUGUAACAUUUGGUGAUACAUCUGUGCUCGCCGAGUUAACUCAGCGACUCGCCGAGUUAACUUAACGACUCGCCGAAUGUCCUUGUGAUCGCCCUUCUGCAACCAAUAUUGUUGGAGUUCAUUCCGUGAUAUUCGGCGAACUAACCCUUCGCAACUGCAUUUGUUCUACUUGUGUUAUAUUGCAGAUAUGGCUAGACCCAAGGUACCUUGAAUAAAUCAACAACCUCAGAAGAAAGAAAAAGGAGUGGUCAUUGUUAUAGAGGUUACACCUUAAAGAGCAACACAUCCUAGACUGCCUUCAACAGGGGGUAAAGGGCACAGACAAAGGGAAACGACCUGCAUAGCCGAGUUCGAGAAGCUCUAGCUCCGAUAGUAUGUGUAUCGAUUCUACCCACCUCACCACUUUUGAGUCUGACUUUGAGGAAAAUUCAGGGUAUAGAUAACUGGUCUACGAGUCCGAGCCUCCAGAUGAUCAAUUCCUCAAAAGGAGAAGGGCUGAAUUGCGCUCCAAAGCGCUACAUGAUCCGGCGAGACACCCAGUUCAUCCGAUUUCUCCUCUACCUCCAGCACAGGUAGUUGAGGAGGCACCACAAGUGCCCCCAGUACAGGAACCUCCGCCACGUUCAAUGAACAUAUUAAAGGCUGCCAGGUUGAGAACGAUUCUAGAAGAGAAGAUGUUAUUUAAUGAUGGGGUAGUGGACAUGUAUCUUGCUGUGUGGGACACAAUUCAUUUCCACAAAUUCCAGAGGUUUACAUAGCUCCGGGGCCCUUCUUAUCCUCUAGGUUCUAGGAGUUCUAUUAGGAGCACGGGAAAUUGAUCCAGAAAGGCAAGAAGAAGGCCAGUUCGUUUGGACCAGUUGAUCAUGUAGUGGUGUGAAGUAAAAAGGUGAAGUGCAGCAGUAUGGAGAUUAAUGAGGUGUUGGGAUGCACAAUCCAGAUAAUCAAUAUCUUGGCAAACAGGAUUCAGAAGAAAACCUUCAACAAUCUUAAGGGGUUGUUGGCCCCCUUGAUUUCUGAUAUAACACCUCUAUGGAUUGAGCUUGAUGUCCAAAUUGAGAAGAAGGACCUAAAUGUCGCUGCUAGAUACUGGAUUGGGUUCAUUAGCACCACGCUCCUGCCAUCACAAAAUGAGUCCAUCCUUCGGCACACGAAGGCACCCUUGUUGGGAUCAAUUAUUCACCUGGAUAGACUAAAUCUUUGAUUGAUUAAUUAUUAGGAGAUAGUCAUGAGCCAAGUUGAGCCAGACCUUGCUACCAUUCCCAGUGCUGAUUACAGAGUUGUGCUGACGAGCUAGAGUUCCCUUUAUGGCAAAGAAGGAUGUGGAAGUGGCUCCCACUUCCUCUACUGACAUUCGGAGGAUCGAGGCCUAGUACACUAGAAAUGAGGCUGAGCGGAAGAGGACAGCGCUGGUGGACACAUCCCCGAUUGUUGAUGUAGAUACGUUGGAGGCAGACACUACUCCUUCCACUCAGGCUGGUGAGCCUUCAGGUACACAUAACCCAUCUGCUCGUACUACCUCUUCUGCUACUGCUCCCCGAGCCCUGUUGACAUGGGCCAUUUUGUAUAACAUAGUCUAUCUAGCCCAGUCAGCUGAUCUGCGUGCUUCCUGAGUUGAGGUACCUAUACCAAGAUUGAUUGAGCGGACCAUUGUUGUUGACCUUGCCCCCAUCCGAGCUGAGUUACGAGAGCAACAAGAGUUGAUUACUACUCAUGGCCUAGCAUUGGACACCCUCACUGUGCGAUUUGAGGCGUGUGAGUAGGGUGGGUGACAUUCAGAGGAUGUGACAACUUUGAAGGCUGAUGUUGCAGAGUUGAGGCGUGAUAUGGAUGAGCUCAAAUCCAAUGAUUUAUCUAUGUUCUUCGGCACUAUGGACCUUCUCAAGGUUCCAAGUUCAGAUAUAACAUAUACUUCUGAGAUUCCUCCGGCUAUUCUGACCGGAAACACUGUUGUAGCUACUGACGAUGAUGAGUCGGAUACUCUUGAGAUGGAUGAGGAGGAGCUUAGGACCUGUGAUGCUGCAUUUUAUGAUGAGCUUGAGGAAUUGGAGGGUGCAAUGGUACAUAUUGCAACGAAGGCUUCAGUUCAGGACACCUCAAUGAUUGGUUCCAGUGGAGCGCAACCUACUCCUGGAGGAGAGUCGAGCACUGAUGUCCCGAUUGAGAGAGCUCCAGAUGCACAAUGUUCACCUAAAGCUUAGCCUGAGAGGGGGAUUUGACUCUCUUCCUAUUUUAUUUUUGAGACAUUUACUUUAUUUUACAUUGAGGACACUAUUUAGUUUUGUUAGGGGGCCUAUCCCCUUGGUUUGUAUUUAUUCUAUUUUGGAUGAUCGUUUCGGUACUGUACACUUUGUCCAAAACUUUCCCACGUAUGUUGGCGAAAUUGAAUGUUGGUUUUAGAUACCAUUUAUCAAUUCCGUGAUUUCUCAAUGUAUGAAUUUUAUGGCUGUUCGCUUGCAUAUUUGAGUAUUAGUUGCGAUAAAUACCUAUGUCUUGAAUAAUACACUUGAUUGAACGAUAUGUUUGUGCAAGUCCAAUGAGGCAAAUUUGAGUUUGAUAAGUCAUGUGUGGACUCUUAGCACUUCGUUCACUACACCAUUUUAGGCCUACGGCCACACUAAUUCUGGACAACGCUUGUAAAGUAUUGCCUAAAAUAAUUUUGGGGACGCUUUCAAAGCGUAGCCCAAGUUUUUAACUUUUAGCUACACUUUAUAUUAGCAACACUAGAAAAGUGUACUCUUUAAUGCUAUAAGGUACACUUUAUAAGUUUUGUUACAAUAUGAUAUAAUUGACAACAACUACUAACAUAUAUGGCCACACUUUUAAAGUGUCCUAUUUUUAUAUUUGUAAAUACAAAACAUUACAAGUGUGACCUUAAAAUUUUCACUAAAAUAUUAUAUUCCCUCCAACAUUUUUAAAUCUCCCUCCCAUUUUUAUUGGCCAAAACUAAUAAAUCAUAAAACAUUAAUUUUAAUAAUACAUAAAACAUUUGUGAGAAAAAUACGCUAUUCUCUUUCUUGGAAGAACUGAGCUGAAGAGUUGAAGUCGUCGAAGAAUUGAAUAGCUGAAGUCGUCUUCUCCGAUACCGAUUCUCUUCUCCGAUAACAAUUUCGUCAAGCGUAAGUACGAUUUUCUUUUCCAAUACCGAUUUCAUCAAGCAUAAGUACUAAAAACAGUUUUCUUGUUAUUGAUUGGUUUUUUGUUUUGUGUUUAGAAGAGGAGAAUAAGAAGGAAUUGAUUACUUUGGGGUUGUUGGCAAGAUGAACUGAAGCUAAGUCUUUCCGUCACGCUUUUCUCUCAAAUUUCGCAUUGAAGAACACGAUUUCAGAUAGAGCUCAAGAGCUGAAGAGCUUCUUGCUGAUGGAUACAAUUUACAUCAUAGUUCUCGUUGAAAACAUGAUUUUGUUGGAAUAGAGUUUAUCAAGUAAGAAAUUCUAUCUUUGAAAGUCUUAAUUUUAGUUUUAGGGUUUUGAUAUUCUUGUGUUUUUUAUACAUUUUUUGGGAGUGUAGCUCGUAUCUUAGCUUCAUCGGUUUAUUCUUUGCCCUGAGCAUUAAUCACUAAAUAAGUAUAAGUGGGCUGAUUCUUCACUUGAGAAUUUAUUUUUUAUUAGGCUUAUAAGCUGAUUAGGGCUGAAAUCGUCCAUGAUAGUUUAGAAGUUUGAGUUCAUGUAAUCAAUUUUGAACUCUUAUAGUGAAUAUGCCUUGAGUUCAAACAAGUAGCUAACCAAUAGUUUAGAAGUUUGAUUCUUCACUUCAUCUAAUCGAUUUAGAAAAUUGAAGUUUGCUCAUACUUAUAUGCUUUGUUCCAGUAUCUAAGGUGUACAACAAAAAAGGUACUGGAAUUACUCAAUACAACCUAGUACUUAUUUGGAUAUCUAUUUUAUGGUUUGAAGGUUGAACAUGGAUUCUUGAAUCUAAACUGCUCUCUCACGAUAGAUGUUGGAUAUGAUACCCAUUUCCUUUAUCAAGUCAGUGGCAUAGUGAUGGUCACCAUAUCAUCAGUUAUCCAGAUAGUAAUUGAGCAAUGCAUUAUUGUGAAUUGAUAUUCUAUAAACACUGAGAAGAAGGAUCAUGUAGCUGGCUGGAAUGCCUUGGUCUAUUCUGUUUUACAUGACUAAAAAAGUGCAGGUCUAAAUGCCUUGGUCUAGAUUGUUUUACAUGACUCAAGAAAAAAUCUAGGUUUUGUUCUUAUCUAAACUUGUAAAAUUCACCAGUAACUACAUUUGAAGCCCAAGAAAUUUGGUCCAGUUUGUGUAAAAAGCUGUUUUCAAAUGGAUAACCAUGCAAUAUUUGAAAAUCAUGUCUCUAUGUUGAUUUUUUCAAGUCACCUUUGUUGACUUCUUGUUCUAUGGAUAUGGCAAUACUUGGUUCCCAUUGAUGUGGUAUUUAGUGGACUUUGUCCUUGAAAAACUAGUACUGAUAAGGAAUCAUUGCUCCAGAAGCCUGUUGGCUUUACUGGUGGUGCUAGCCAUGUUCUUUCUGAACACUAGGGGGUACUGCCUGGUGUAAUGAAAAAUCAAUGCUCAAGAAACACAUGAUGAAAUAUUAUUGAAUUUCAUAAAAUACUUUGACUGAUUGUCUACUUAUAUGAACUUGAGUUUUUCAUGAUAUAGUUUUUGGUGUUGAAUUAGAUUCAAGUAUAAUUUUGGUGUUGAAUUAGAUUCAAAAUACUUUUAUGUUUUGGUGUUUUGAUGUGCUUACUCGACCACACGGGUUAAAACAUAAGAAGAUAUAUCCUCAUCUUUUAAGCUUCAGAAAUAUAAAUGUUAUUGAAUGUGUAAGAGAACUAGAAGGGCACAGUAGAACAUAUAGGAUGUACCUAAAAGAAAAACACGCUAAGAAAUCCUUCAUAAAUCAAAGUUAAAACUUAACCAGAAACACCACAAAACCAGUAGAUUGAAAGAUGAAGCCUUCUUCCCUUCAAUGAACAACAAAAACACUACACUAAGUAGUUAUAACAAAAGGUACAUCCCACUAGUAAGGAACAUGGGAUAGCACAAUUUGUUCUGUGAUCACCAGACAUAUGCUUGUCAUUGUGUUUCUGCACUUCAAUAGCCAGCAAAAACAUACCAGCCUUUUAGCAUUUCUUCCUUCUUUUUUUCCCAAUCAGCAAUCAAAACCUACCAUGUAUUCUCCAUUUCUCAUAUGCUUACCCGCCAAGGGAUUUACAAAACUAGUUAAAUCAAGACUACCCUUUUAUUUGGCUGUUUGUUAUUUACAUACUUAUUUGUUUCCUUUUAUUAUCAAGAAGUAGGCAUUAGAGGCAGAACAACGAGCUCUGCAGUUUGAAGUCACUCCUGGUUUUGUCGCUGUCCUGAUUUCAUUGCUCUGAGAGAGGUACAACUCUUUACCUUUAAUUUUUCCUUGUUUGGUUCAGACCAAGAGUGUUAUGCGUUGUUGUGACUGAAAUAGUGAGCUGCUAGUUUGUAUCCGCUUUUUAGUUGAUAUGAUUUGAUAUCUUUUCUCAAAGUUAGCUGAGUCUCCUUUUAGUUUGUUCAAGAUGCUCUGUAGUUCACUCAGUCAUGAUUUUUAGUGUGCCUGUUCUGGGUUCUGGGUUCUCGAAAUGGGGCUGUAAAAUCUAGUUAUUUACCUUCUCUCCAAGAGUGGCUCAGUUCUCUUUUGAGCAUCUUUUAACUUAGUCAUUGUAUAUCUCUGUCUGAUUGCUCUCAAAUGCUAUCUGAUGCUAUGAGGCUUCAAGUUCUAAUGUUCAAUUUGAUCAAAAAUAGUCUGUCUAGGUCCUGAUUUUGUUUGAAUUUAUAUUAAUACAGUUUGUAUGGACUACAUAUUGUAAGCAAGUGAGAUAAUAUACUCAGAAACUAUUUUGUCGCAUUAAAGUAACUGAACUUUACACACUAUAUACGUUACUUUUUAAAAGUUAGUUUUUGACUUACCCUCUAGAGUACAACUGAUCACCAAUAAUUAGAAAAUUCAUGACAACAACUUAUAUUGUUUGCACAGGCUGCCACUUCUCAUCUAAAAUGGUUGUACAUGUUAUAGAAUCAGUUUAGUUGUGGCUCCAACUUCCCUGCUCGGAUAUUGUGUCUGUACAGGUUAUAGAAUUAGUUUACAGUAUAUACAGUGCUGGAAGUUCUGGAAAUUCUAGAAAUUCUAAAAACUCAGUUGCUGCAAUCUGCUAUUAUAUAGUGCUGGAAAUUCUAGAAACUCACCUGCUGCAAUAUUAUACAGUGCUGGAAAUUUUGGAAAUUAUUGAAACUCGCUGCUGCAAUCUGCUAUUAUCAAUUACUCUUUUAUAGCUGCUGCAAUCUGCUAUAAUACAGUGCUGGAAAUUCUGGAAAGAGUUGAGCUUUUCUAUAACUUCUAAAGAGUUGUAAAUUCUGGAAAGAGUUGGUGUGUGAGUUCUGCAGAUGCACAGGACAUAGGAAGGACAAUGUUUCAAACUAAUAAGCUAUCCACCUGACUUCAAGUCUAAGAAAAAAACUUAUAGUGAGGCAUCUGGGUGGGUUGCAUAUGCUGUGAUAGAUGUGCAAACAUAUGUAGGUACUGAAAUGCAAGCUCAAGGAAUCUUCACAUAUGGCUUGGACACUAAUGUACCACCAUCUACUAGGAGUCAUUAGAAUGGAUCCAGGAGUACUAAUGACUAUGCUAAACAGUUGCUAUAAAUAAAUAUAUGUAGUAAAGUUCUAGUAUCAGUCUGUUUUAACAUCUUUUUACUUCAUCAAUAGAAUUCCAAGCAGUGUUGCCUAUAGUCAUCUGUCAACCUUAUAUCAAAAUUAUAUUGCUGCUACUUCUUUCAGUUAAAGAACCUUCUUAUUUUGUAGGUUUACUUACUACAGGGAAAGAAAUCAAAGAGAUUAAAACAAAGCGAGAAGAAUGAAUCAAUCAGCAAUACUAAAGAAAAAGGGUUCGAAUCCAAACAAAGAUCAAAGUCCAUUGAAGAAUCUGGAUUUUUGUAUGCAAUACCGAUCAAGUGUUGAAUUGGCCAACAAAUUCAAGAUUAAGAGAGAACAACUUGCAAAUGAACGCAAUGAUAGAGCUAAGAAAGAGUAGGCACCAAUACCACAUAAAAGAAAGAAUUCUGAGGAUUUCAUUCCACAACAAGGAAAUAGUAAAUUGCUUGGGCACAAUGAUUGCUUUUUUUCUUGAGACAGGUUGAACGUCAUCCACAUAUCCUUAUAAACUAUUUGGUCUUUGGUUUUGUUAGCUUGUUCUUCCUUUUCGUAACCUGCUCAUGAUCAGGUUCAUCAAAUGACCUUGCAUUUUUUAAAUUCUCAGUCCGCCUCUGAGGCAUUAUAGUUUUAGCUGUUUAUAAAAUAAAUAACAUUGCAUUUGGUUUCUCUUCUGUUAUAAGAUAGUGGUAUCUAUCUGCUGCCACCAUUCAAGCACUAUUUUCCCUAUUCUUAGUCUUCUUGAGUUCAUCAUUGUUGUGCUCGCCUUAAGCUUGGUUUAUUUAUUUGUGUGGUACUGUUUCAUUUAUUUAUGGUGAGAUAUUGCCUAGUAUCACUUACAUUGAUAUAAUAAGCCUCAAAUGAGUUUGUAUUAUCUAUUUCAGGCUGUGAUCUGCGUAAGUGUUUGUUCUCUAGUUACUAAUGAAUCUACCUCUUUCUUUACUGCUUGUGACCUCUGUGAGCUUCAUUUUUAUUUUAGUUUUGAUAGAAUGAAAUUUGACAUGAAAUUUUGCAUUUUAAUGUGGAUCAGUAACCUAUGUUGCCUUAAGAAGGCACUGCUUUCAAGAUGGAUUAGCCUUGCAAGUGAUUCAGUAGCCAAUAGUACAUUUACUUGAUGUUAUACGAGUUGAGUGCAUUAAAGAACUUGAGGUUCCAAGAUAACAUGAAGCUAUAAUCAUUGCAAGAAGUAGAGUUUCUUCAGUAAAUCUUUGAAAAAGACUUCUUUUUUUAUUUUUCUUCUAGUUGAGCUGGUGUUCUUGGUAAUGAAAUUCUGAACUUUUUUUACUAUCUUGAAUCUUUGAAAGUUCAGUCUGUACUUUUUUUUUGUCAUUCAAUGUCUCCUUUCAUCUUCUAUACCUAGAAAAGUUUAUAUUUUUAGUUGUAUGAGUGUAGUAUUGGUUUGAAGGAGGACUCUAGUGAUUUUGGGUUGUAGUUGUGUACUUUUUUCCCCUGUUGUUUUACUGCUUUGAACUGUGAUGGUUGUUGUGAGAGAUGGUUUUGGUUUUCAUUGCUUAAACUGAUUCUCUUAGUUAAAGCUGUCCCUUUUAGAUUUCUUGGAAGGUUAAAGACUUUGUUAUAUUUUUGUGAGUGAGUUUGUUGUCACUUGUGCUAGUUAAGCUUUUUUCUGGUGUUGGAAUAAAGCUAUUUAGAUUUUAUGAUGCUUGUGCUUUGUUAUGUUUCUGCAAUGGGGCAGCUUCCUUCCCAGGAUAUUUUGGCCCUACUUGAUUAUAUAUAGAUACAACUGGUUAUGUACUGUAGUCAUGAAAUGCGGAAUGGGUUAUACGGGUUAUACCAUAGAGGGUCGGGGCAUUGGGUUUAUGCAAACUGUAAAGUGUAGCCUACAUCUACAGAUAUACAAUCAUCAUGUCUAACUUGUUUAUAAAAUACUCCAACAUAUUAUUUCAUUAGAUAAAUAGUAAUUUACUACAAAUAGGCCGUGAAGCCAGAUGCCUGUUCUAUAUGAUUUGCAUCUAUUGAUUUGGAUUGGUUGGCUUACAGUGAAUACUCUCCAAUUAUGCACUUCCACAACUUUAUUGUUAUGAAUUGGUUUGGCUUACUGUGAAUUUAAGCAUAUUAAAUACAUGAUUUAUUUCCCUAACUUAUGAUUUUAUUUUGAAUGUGUAGAAAAAUGCCGGUAAUUGAAUUUGAAUUGUGGCCAGAAGUAAACUCGAUAUAGUGUAGUGAACGAUGAAGAGUUUUUGUACUAUUGUCAGAUAUGUUUGUAUGCAUUUGGUUUUGUGCAAUUUAUUGAUAGUAGAGGUCUUUAAGCAAUCACUUUCUAAGUAUUGGUUGUACAAGACAUGUUUCUCAAAGUUUAUUUGAAAUAUAUAGCUUCGAUUUAAUUAUUAGUUAAUUUUCUGCUUUAGGUCACUUGUAUAUUUAAUUAUGUGAUUACUGAAUAUAUGCAAAUAAAAAUUAUUAUUCUUAAAAAUAAAAAAUUGUGCCUACAAAAUUCUACACAACAUUGCCACACUUCAAAAAUGUUGUUGUAGGAUGUCCAAUGUUAUCUUGUACAUAAGAAAAGUUACACUUUAUAAGUGUUGUUCUAGAUGAGAUAUAAAAGGCAACACUUUUUAAGUGUGACCAAUAACAAAGCAAAAGCAACGCUUUUAAAUGUAGUAUAAUAAAAAGAAGGUGUUGCUAAUGAAUCACUACAAAGCGUGCCCAUAUACCUCUUUGGCCACACUUUAUAACUGUAGCUGUGAUGGCGACAUUUAAAAAGUGUUGCCUAAUGUCAAAGGUCACGCUUCUUUAGGCCACCUCCUAAAAAGCGUUGCUUAAAGUCCAAAAGUGUAGCCUUUUAUCAAAGGCCACACUUUUUGCUAGUUUAGGCUACACUUUACUGGGGUGGCCGUAGGCCUAAAAUGUUGUAGUGGUUGUGACUAGUCGACUGUUGAAGUGAGUCUUGUGAUGAUCGUUGCACGCGAGCUCAAUUUGUAGAGUCGUGAUAGACGAUUGUGUUGAAUGCCUUGUGUGGUGAGAUUUUCUUGAAAUAUGCGCUUGGUAAUACCUAGAACUUGCCCCGUUGGUCCAAUUGACUAACAUUGACAAAUGAGAGAAAUGAUCUUAGGCACAACUUUUUGAGAGUGAACCAAAUUGCUAUUAUACCUCUUGUGACCACCUUGUGAAAUGAUCUUCGGCACUAUUUGAGCCUACCCUUUCUUUGAAUGGAACAUGUACACAUUUAACAUCUUUCAUCCCCACCUAAAACCUUUAGGAAGCUUUGGUUCAUUUAAGUAUCUAACUUAGUGAAAUUUCACCCUUGAGAAAAUGUGUUGAAAAAGAGUAAAAAAAGAAGAGAUGGAACCCUUCUUUAGUAAAAAAAAAGAGAAAAGCAAAAGAAUAAAUUGUAAAAGAAAUGCAUAUUGGAAAUAAAAGAGGUGUCCAAUGAGCCAUACAAUCUUUGUGCUUGAAAGCACUUAGGGUGGAUUGUGAAAAUCUAAAGAGUGGAAGAAAAGGAGAAGAACUGGAAUGCAAGUCAUGCUUCAUGAAGGUAGUUGUCACACCCCGAGCCUAAACCCUGGACACGAGUGGCACUCGAAAAUCAUUUCUGGCCCCAUGAGAACCCCUAGCAUGACUCAAUUCUCAGAGGAAAACUUACUCAACAAUAAAUGAACUCAAAUUAAAAUUUUACACAAUGUCUUUAAAAUAAUUAACUCAUAAUGUAUUAUAACAUUCACUGGCCCAAAGAAGGCAACUCAAGUCUUAAACAAUAACAAUAGAAAUGAAAAGACUCUUGAACUACUACUGUCUAUAUAUAAAACCUAUAAAUGAAAAGGGUAGAAGUCGGGACAAGACCCACGACAUCCUAACAAAAACUAAAAAGUAAAUGGAAUCCUCCGAAAGCAAGGAGGCUCACAAAAUCUAACUCCAACUGUUGUUGUAUCAACGAAGCGCCUGUUGAUGCCCCUGAUCUCCUGUAUUUGCAUCAUGAAAUAAUGCAGAGCAAAUGACAUUAGUAUAUUGAAUGUACGAGCAUGUAAGGGAAAACACUGAACAUAACACAAGAGCCUGAACUUGGAAAGAAUGAAACAAUACUCACCUCAUCUCCACUCAACUCAACCUCAACUCAAUACAGUAUAAAGAAAAAUAAAGAUGUAGUUUAUUGAGUUUAAAACAGUAGAUAACAACUCCAUGUAUUUAAAAAUACAAUAAUAACUCUUAUUUGGGAGAUUCUCUAACAAACAACAAUCACUUUGAUCUAUGUGAUGAUACAACAUCUCUCCCACGCUUCCAAAACUGUUCUAUACCUUGCUGAAGUAUAAUAUAUCCUAAACUAACUGGAUCCACUAAGCUAUGCUUAAAAGGAAAUAAGGAUUCAUCUAAAAAGUAUGACCCUUUCUACCCACGAUGGCUACAUGGUUAAUGAGGACUUUGAGUUGUUCAUACUCGUCCCCAUAUCGGUGCUCAAUAUUACUCCCAAUAAUAUAACUCAGCUCAUAUGUUUAAAAACAUUAUGUUAUCCUCAAACAUUAAGAUUAUUACUCAAAAGGUUUCUCUUAAAAGAGAUAGUACUCAAAACUCUUCCUGAACUUAUUUAGAAAUCGAUAUUUCCUCUCAUUUUAAAUGUAAAAACAUUUACUCUUGGGAAUACUUUCCCCAUAGAUUCUUUUUGAAUAAUGAAAUUCAACUGUCCUCAUUCUCAUACUCAAGUACUCAAGUCUUGAAACAAGUUUUAAAAGUUUUGCAAAAAGACUUCUCAAUGGACUCAAAGAAGUUCCUCGACUUUACUCUUAACUCUAUCUUAAAUUUGAAUUAUGAAUUAUGAAUUCAAGAGUUAUGACCUAGAUAAGCAUGAUCUCACAAGAGUUAAUGAAGAUUUCAAGUGUGGAUAUCUAGUAGAAAACAUAGGUACGAUUCGAGGGAACGAACAUGGAAAUAAGGACAGAAGGGUAGGGGAUCCUGGCGCACUGAGUGGCAUGGGGAGCCAGCCCGUAAACUACCGAAAGUGGUUUGGAGCGCACUGAGUGGCGCGACGCCCCACCCCUUGCCAAAUUUUUUGACAAAAUUUCUUGCUUCAAUUUCAUGCCUAACACCCGUAAAAUCGAACGAUUUCUCUCAAAACCUCUUGGAUUCUUAGACCCAACAUAAUUACAAUGAAAUCCACUCUAAAUUAGUCAAGAACAGUACUCAAACCGAAGAUCCUCAUCAUAAGAACUCAACGAAACCUCUUAUCAAGGAAUGAAACAGAAACUUCAAGAAACUCAGCAAAAACUCAUCAAGAUUUCAAUAUUUCCAAUCUUGUGGAUGAAAUUUGCAAAGGAAACUCUUGUUUGGCAUGUGGGUUAACAAACUCAACUCUAUGAAAACUUACAUACCUCGUUAGGAUCGAAUACAUGGCGAAAACCCCUCAAAGAUUGCAAGAAAUCCUUAAGUGCUUGAAUCUUUUCCUUUCUUUCUCCCUUGAACUUCUCUCUAAAACCCUAAGCGUAUUUUAGAAUUGUGAAAACUGACCCAAAUCAGUUUAGACCCCUAAAAUAUUACUAAAAAUGUUUAAAGCUGAUAAGGUAAGGAAAAGACAAAAAUACCCCUCAUUAAUUAUGGUUAUUUCCUUAACUGGACUGGCUAACUUCAAACAAGCAUAUCUCCCUCAUCCAAACUCACAAUUUAGCAAACUCAGUGGCAUUUGAAAGAUGAUUCAAAUAUCUUUUAUUUGAUAUUUUAUGGGACACCUAACUCAUCCAGUACUGAAAGUUAUAGUCAUUUGAAAUUGACCCAAAACUCACAACUUAAGCUUAUCUUGAUCAAAAUAUCAAAUUAGCAUUUUUCAAAUUAAUUCUUUCUAAAUUUAGCUCUUUCUAUGACCGAGGUGUUACAAUAUCUCUCCCUUGGACACAUUUGUCCUCGAAUGAGAUCACUCUAAACAGACUAAGGGAGGCAACAUCUAACACACAACUCAAACACCCAACAUGCAAUUUAUAACACAACAUAGCAUAUCAAUUAAGAGAGUGUUUUACAAAAAUCGUUACCUUGGUCUAAAAUUUCUCCGGCAGAAAAGAGAUGUGGGUAUAUCUUCUUCAUAUCAUCCUCAACCUUCCAAGUUGCUUUCUUAACAAAUUGAUUCCUCCUUAAGACUUUGAUUGAUGCUACCUCCUUGGUUCUCAACUUGCGAACCUAACAAUCGAGUAUUUCAACGGGUACCUCCUCAUAAGAUAGUUUGUCCUUAAUACCAAUAUUUUCAGUAUGUAUAAUAAGUGAAGAAUAUCUCAUACACUUCUUCAACAUACAAAUAUGAAAUACCGGAUGGACUAUUGCUAACUCUGAUAAUAGCGCCAACUGGUAGGCUACCUUCCUACUCCUCUCGGAUAUCCUGUAAGGACAAUAUACCAGGGACUAAGUUUUCUCUCUUACCAAAUAUCAUAACAUCCUUCGUGGGUAACACCUUCAAGUAAACCCAAUCAUCAACCUCAAACUCCAAGUCUCUUCUCCUAACAUCAGUAUAGGAUUUCUAACGACUUUGCAUUGUUUUCAACCUUUCUUGAAUGAUCUUCACCUUCUCCAUAGCUUUAUGAACCAAGUUCAGUCCUAUCAACCUAACUUCACCAAGCUCAAACCAUCCAAUAAAAGAUCUACAUCUUUUCCUAUAAAGAGCCUCAUAUGGAGCCAUAUGGUUUCUAGUGUGAUAAUUGUUGUUGUAAGAAAACUCAAUGAGAGGUAAGUGAUCAUCCCAAUUACCCUUGAAAUCGAUCAGACACCCCCUCAACAAAUCCUCUAAAUUCUAAAUUGUACACACUACUUGACCACCAGUCUGAGGAUGGAAGGUCAUACUCAAAUUUACCUUCAAACCCAAGCCUUUUUGGAAAGACAUCCAGAAUUGCGCGGUGAAUUGCGCACCUUUGUCUGAAAUGAUGGACACCAGAACUCCAUGAAUUCUCACAAUCUUUUGAAUAUAUAAUCUGGCAUAAUCUUCUGUCGAAAAUGUAGUCUUUACCGUCUAUAAAUGGGGUGAUUUAUUCAUCCAAUCUACAAUCAUCUGGAUCGAAUCAUGCUGCCUACGAGACCGCAAUAAGCCAGCAAUAAAAUCCAUAUUGAUCAUCUCCCACUUCCAUUCCAAAAUCUCUAUAUUCUGAGCCAUGCCACCGGGCCUCUGUUGCUAUACCUAGACUUGUUUGCAAUUUGGGCACUUAGCAACAGACUCUGCAAUACACCUCUUUAUACUACUCCACUAAUAGACUUCUCUCAAGUCACGAUACAUAUUUGUGGAUCUCGGAUGGAUAGAGUAUCUCGAGCUAUGAGCUUCAUCCAUGAUCCUCUCUUGAAGUUCAUCCACCUUUGGUACACAUAAUCUACCUUGAUACCUCAAUACACCAUCUCCCCCUUGUUCAAAAGCCAUCACUUUCUGGUUAUGAACAUUUGUCUUCAAUUCAAGAAAAAUAAGGUCUUGUCUUAUUUCUCUUUCACUUCGGACACUAGUGAUGAUUCAUACCCAUUUAUCACCACUACUCCUCCCUCAUUAGAAUCCAUUAACAAAACUCUCAAUCGUGCAAGUCUGUGCAUAUCUCUGGCUAAUUCUUUCUUGCCUUCCUCAACAUGGGAAGUACUGCCCAUAGAUAACAUGUUCAAUGCAUCAACAACAACAUUAGCCUUACUUGGGUGAUAUAGAAUACUCAUGUCAUAAUACUCGAGUAACUCCAACCACCUUCUCUGUUUGAGAUUAAGCUCUUUCUGACUUAAUACAUAUUGAAGACUCUUGUGAUCGGUGAACAUAUAUACAUGAACACCAUAAAGAUAGUACUGCCAUAUUUUUUAUGUGAUGAAUACUACACCAGCCAACUCUAGAUCAUGGGUUGGAUAAUUCUUCUCGUGAAUCUUAAAUUGUUUCGAGGGAUAAGCUAUAACCUUGCCAUUCUGUAUUAAUACACAACCUAGUCCAACUCUUGAUGCAUCAGAAUACACAACAAAGCCUUGUGUACCAUCUGGUAAGGUUAACACUUGGGCAGUAGUCAAUUACGUUUUCAAUUCCAGAAAAUUUUUCUCACAAGCUUCAGACCAUUGAAACUUCACUAUCUUCUAAGUCAACUUUGUCUACGGGGAUGAAAUAUAUGAGAACUCCUUGACAAAACAUCUAUAAUAACCGACCAAUAUCAAGAAACUCAUAAUAUCCGUUGGAGAUGUCAGUCUAGGCCAGUUCUGUACUGCCUCAAUCUUUUUAGUGUCAACUAGAAUCCUAUCACCAGAAAUAAUGUGGCCUAAGAACGCCAUAGACUAAAGCAAAAACUCACACUUGGAAAAUUUGGCAUACAACUCUCUAUAUCUGAGAGUUUGGAGAACUACUCUGAGAUGAAUAGCAUGAUCCUUCUUAUUCCUCGAAUAAAUUAGAAUAUCCUCAAUGAAUACAAAAACAAACAUAUCAAGAUAAGGCUUAAACACUCUAUUCAUAAGGUCCACGAACAAUGCAGGAGCAUUAGUAAAUAAAAAACACAUGACUAGAAACUCAUAAUGACCAUAAUGGUUCCUAAAUGCUGUCUUUGGGAUAUCACUUUCUCUUACUCUCAGCUGAUGAUAGCUAGGUCUAAGGUCUUCCUUAGAAAAACAAGUGGCACCCUGAAGUUGAUGGUAGAGAUGAUCAAUCCUCGGAAGGGGAUACUUAUUCUUGAUAGUAACCUUGUUCAAUUGGCGGUAAUCAAUACACAUCCUAAGUGAACCAUCGUUCUUUCUCACAAAUAAGAUCGGAGAGCCCCAAGGUGAGAUACUAGGUCGAAUAAAACCUUUGUCAAGAAGAUCUUUCAACUACUCUUUUAACUCUUUCAACUCAGCUAGAGCAAUUCUAUAUGGUGGAAUAUAGAUGGGUCGAGUAGCAGGAAAAAUAUCUAUACCGAAGUCUAUUUCUCUCUCAGGACGGACUACGGGAGGAUCAUAUAGAAAGACCUCUACAAACUCACUCACAACUGGAACUGGUUGAAUAUGUGGUUUGGAAACACUAGAGUCAUUAACUCGGACUAAGUGAUAGAUACACCCCUUGGAAACUAACUUUCUAGCCUUAAGGUACGAAAUAAAAUGACCCUUAGGCAAUGUUAAACUACUCCUCCACUCGAUAACUGGCUCAUUAGGAAACUGGAACUUAACUACUCGAGUUCUACAAUCAACUAAGGCAUAACCAACAUGAAGCAUGUCCAUACCUAGAAUAACAUUAAAGUCCACCAUAUCUAACUCAACUAAGUAAGACAUGGUGUCCCUGUGAUUGACAGGAAUGGUACAAUCAUGAUAAGCUCUUCCAGCUAGAAUAGACUCACCAACAAGCGUGGAAACACUGAAGGGCUUAAGAAGUUGUUCGGGAAUAAUAUCGAACCUAAUAGCAAUAUAUGGAGUCACAAAAGAUAGACUCGCACCAUGAUCAAGUAAAGCAUAAACAUCAAAAGUAAAGACUUUGAUCAUAACAGUGACAACAUCUGGUGAAUUCUCUUGAUCUUGACGACUGGUAAUAUCAUACAGACGGUUUGCUCCUCCGCUUGUUCCCGAAGUAGCUCAUCUAUGUACAGCUUUUCUGGCAGAGCCACUAAAGAAGAUUUGGCUCUGUUGCCAUAAUUACUACUACCCUGUAUGGUCUUAGGGCACUCUCUUAUGAAGUGACCAUUUUGAAUACAUUUAAAGCAACCAGUGGAUCCAUCACGACACACUCCUAGGUGGUUCCUACCACACAUAGCACAUGCAGGAGUCCAAUUGCCUCCUUGUGCCACACUACCAUGAGAUUGUGUAGGUCUAGCUCUGAAGUUCUAAGAAUUAUAAUUCUUGAACAAACCUAUGUUCUUUGGUGUAGGUGCACUAGUAGAUGAUGGAGCAGGUCCAUUUCGCUUUUGUUGAACAAAUGGCUGGUUCGCAUUGCUCUUCUGCUGCCCGGACUCAUUUCCUGCUAUCUUAGCCUUCUUUUUCUGCAACACUUCUCUAUCUGUUAGCUUAUCCUCCUCAACCUGCUACACAUGGAUCAUAAGCCUUGUUAUAUCCAUUUCUCUUAUCAACAUAGCUUUCUUUCCCUCCUUACUUGAAAAGUGAAAGAACCCAUAUACAAAUAGACUUAUCGUGCUCCUCAUGUCAACAACCAUCUCCGGAGCAUAGAAGGACAAUGGAGUGAACUUGAGGCUAUACUAAUGCACACUCAUAGAUUCCUUCUUCAAGUUAAGGAAUUCUGUUACCUUUUCCUCUCUAAGAUUAGGGGGAAAGAAAAGCCCAUGAAUGUACUCUCGAACACAACCCAGCUCACAAUUGGUGCACCCUCAACGCUACUCUUCUUCCAAUGGUUGUAUUAGACUCUAGCAACACCUUUUAGUUGGUAUGCAACUAGUUCCACAAACUCAAUAUCUGCAACAUGAAUCACCUCAAAAACUUUCUGCUAUUCUUCUAUAAAUUUUUUCAGAUACUCAGUUACACUUGAACCAAUGAAGACUGGAGGAUUCAUCCUCAAGAAUUCAAAGAUUCUGGAUGUAUUAGCCACAUCCAAUCGAUUCACUCUUUGUUGCCCAGCAUGGUUGGUCACAACUUGACUCAACAUCCGAAUAGCAUCUCGGAAUUCAGCAUUAGUAACCUCUCCUUGGGGUAGCACUUCUGGUGCAUUGGGGACCCCACGAUCCUGGGGAUCAAUAUUUCUCCUAGCAGGAUGACCUCUGACAGCUCUUCGUGGAGGCAUGAUAUGAAAGAUACGCGCAAGCACGAAUUAGAAAGAAACUUGAUUGAGUUUAACUUUAUCAUACAAAAAGAGUAAGAAAGAAAUGAUUUUUUUCUUAAAUGUCGCAGCCUCCUAAUUAUAGAUGUGGCGCGCUUCUCACCGAUAAAUAAGACUCUACAAACAAGGCUGCAUAGACACCUUAGGACUCUUAAACUCUGUGCUCUGAUACCAAGUUUGUCACACCCCGAGCCUACACCCUAGAUGCGACUUGCACUCGAGAACCAUUACUGGCCCUAAGCAAACCCCUAGCCUAGCUCAACUCUAAGCGAAAUACUUACUCAACAAUAAAUGAACUCAAAGAAAAACUUUACUUAAUGUCCUUAAAAAAAUUAACUCAUUAUGUAUUAUAACAUUCACUGGCCCAAAGAAUGCAACUCAAUUCUUAAACAUUAACAAUAGUAAUAAAAAGACUCCUGAACUACUACUCUUUAUCUAUGAAGCCUCUAAAUGACAAGGAUGGAAGUAGGGACAAGACCCACGACAUCCUAAAAAAAUUGAAAAGUAAAUGGAAUCCUCCGGAAGCAAGGAGGCUCACAAAAGCUAACUCCAACUGUUGUGGUAUGAAUGAAGCGCCUGUUGAUGACCCUGAUCUCCUGUAUCUGCAUCAUUUCAUGAUGCAGGACAAAUAGCAUCAAUACAUUGAAUGUACGAGCAUGUAUGGGAAAACACUGAACAUAACAUAAGAUCUUGAACUUGGAAUGAAUUAAACAAUACUCACCUCAUCUCCACUCAACUUAACCUCAACUCCUGGAUACUCAACUCAAUACAGUAUAAAAACAACAAUAAAGAUGCAGUUUCUAUAAAGCAUUUAAAAUAGUAGAUAACAACUCAAUGUAUUUAAACAUACAAUAAUAACUCUUAUUUGGGAGAUUCUCGAAUCAACAGCCAUUACUAUGAGCUAAAUGAUCAUACAACGUCUCGACCGCGCUGCUAGAACUGUCUUAUACCUUUCCGGAAUAUAGGACACCCUCAACUAAGUGGAUCCACUAAGAUUUGCUUAAAAAGCAAUAAGGAAUAAUCUAAAAGGAAUGACCCUUUAUACCCACGUUGUGUACAUAGUUUAUGAGGACUUUGAGUUGUUUUAACUUGUCACAAAAUCGGUGCUCAAUACUACUCCCCAAUAAUAUAACUCAGCUAAUAUGUUUAAAAAACAUUUUAUCAUCCUCAAACUUUGAGAUUAUUAUUCAAAAGGUUUCUCUUAUAUGAGAUAGUACUCAAAACUCCUCAUGACCUCAUUUGGAAAUCAAUGUUUCCUCUCAUUUUAAUUGUAAAAACAUUUACUCUUGGGAAUACUUAGUGCCCAUAUAUUCAUUUUAAAAAAUGAAACUCAACUCUCCUCAUUCUCAUACUCAAGUACUCAAGUCUCAAAACACGUUUUAAAAGGUUUGCAAAAACACUUCUCAAUUGACUCAAUAAACUUCCUCGACUUUACUCUUAACUCUAUCUUGAAUUUGAAUUAUGAAUUAUGAAUUAUGAAUUAUGAAUUCAAGAGUUAUGACUUCGAUAAACAUUAUCUCACAAAAGUUAAUGAACAUUUUAAGUGUGGAUAUCAAGUAGAAAACAUAGGUACAAUUCGAGGAAACGCACACAAAAAGAAGGAUGAAAGGGUAGGGGACCUAGCGACCCUGGCGACCCUAGCGCACUGAGUGGCGCGGGGCGCCAGCCCCUAAACUACAUAAGUAGGUUUGGGGCGCACUGUGUAGCACAUCGCCCCACCCCUUGCCCAGAUUUUUGACAAAAAUUCUUACUUCAAUUUCAUGCCUAACUCCCCUAGAAUCGAACGAUUUCCCUCAUACUCCUUUGGAGUCUUAGACCCAACAUAAUUACAGCAAAAUCCACCCUAAAUUACUCAAGUACAAUACUCAAACACAAGAACCUCAUCACAAAAACUCAAUGAAACCUUAUAUCAGUGAAUGAAACACAAACUUCAGGAAAAUCAUCAAGAACUCGGUAUUCCCAAACUUAUGGAUGAAAUUCACAAACGGAACUCGUGAUUGGCGUGUGGCAGAACGAACCCAACAUGAUGAAAACUUACAUACCUCGUUAGGAUCGAAUACCUCAUGAAAACCCAUUGCAAGAAAUCAUUGAGCACUUGAAUCUUUUCCUUUCUUUCUCCCUUGAACUUUUCUCUAAUACCCCAAGCGUAUUUUAGAAUUAUGAAAAUUGACCCAAAUCAGUUUAGACCCCUAAAAUAUUACUAAAAUUGUUUAAAGCUGAUGGAGUAAGGAAAAGACCAAAAUAUCCCUCAUUAAUUCGGGUAAAUUUCCUUAACUGGACUUGCUGACUCCAAAUGUACAUAUCUCUCUCAUCCAAACAUGAAAUAUAGCAAACUCGGUGGCAUUGGAAAGAGGAUUCAAAGAUUUUCAUUUGAUAUCUUACGGGUCAGCUAACUCAACUCGUACUGAAAGUUAUGGUCAUAUGAUGUUGAUCUAAAAAUCACAACUUAAGCUUAACUUCAACAAAUCUCAAAUUAGCUCUUUCCAAAUUAGUUCUUUCUAAAUUUAGCUCUUUCUAAGACUGAGGUGUUACAUUAGAAGUUACUAAGCCAAAUUAAUCAUACCUUUACCCUCAUCCCAGUGACAAGCCUUGAAAGACCUUGGUGAUUUUUAUUAAGCCGAAUGACAAGUUGAUUGGAAAAUACGGGCUAGCAUAUGGGUAGAAUCAUGCAUGUGUUUAUCUUUGAUAGUAUGAGAUUUGAUUUUGAUUCCUUAAGUCUUAAAUUUUGUUGAACUUUGUGUGGGCAUGGAAUCAUUGUUGAUCUGAGGGCAUUGAAAUACUCUUGUUGAGAUUGAAUUUGCAUUUGCAGCAAGCAUUGUGAGCUUGAAUUCUAUUUAACUUUAGUGCACAAUUAAAUACUUCUUGUGAAGAUUGAACCUCAUAUGCAUUCAUGUUGAGUCUCAAGUAGCACUAUUUGUAGACAUCUCUAUUGAACUGAUUGAUCUUGUGUUUUACUUGAGGACAAACAAAAGUUUAAGUUGGGGGUGUUGAUAAGUUGGGUAUUUCGACUCAUUUAGUGCUUAAUAUUCAGGGAUUUAGUGUCCUCAAUGCCUAUGUUAUGUUCAUACCUGAUUAAAAUGUUAAUAUGCAGCAAUGAAGGAAAAAGAGCAAGGCAAGGACAUUAUGAGGCUAAAAGGAGCGUAAAAGCUGAAAAAGUUGAAGUAAAGGAAAAUUGGUACUCGCCAAAGCAACUCGACACGCCGAGUGGACCUUCAGCUUGCCUAAAAUUCCAUCAGGCUAUCCCUUGGACAAUACCAACUUGGUGAGCAAAGGAGUAGGUCGGCGACACGCCAAAGGGAUCGGCGAUGCCGACCUAGCUCAUCGAAGAUAAUAGAAACAUUAGUAGAAAAGCCACCGCAAGAAGGCGAGAAGAGGAGCACUCGACGCAUCGUCGAUCAAGUCGGCGAGCCCGACUAACUUUGCCGGGUUUACUCCAUGCUAAAAUUCUGAGAAUAUAUAAAUGCAAUUUUGAAAAGAAGAAAGGAGAGCUGAAAAAAUUACCAUAUUGUUCACUGCUGGGUUUUUGAUAUUUUACAUUCUAGAUCAAUGUUUUACAUUUUGGAGCAAGGAUUUAAAUAUUGUGAGAUUUUUAGCUUUAAUUUGAGCAUUUGAAGACUUGUGGAUCGUUACCCAAUUUGAUGGAAAACAUCGUUGGUAACGAUUUCUUAUUUUUUACUAUGUUUGGCUUAAAACCCCAUUCUUGGGGGUGUGAUUAUGUAGUUGAAUAAAUUAAUUAGCUAAUGGGUAUUGUUAGGUACUGAUUUUAUUAUUAUUUUAAAGUGGGUCCAAUUAAUAGUUCGUGUUUUGAUUGAGGAAUUUUAGUUGCAAAUGCAAUUCUAGCUUAGUACUUUAUACUUGCUUGGAAAAGAAGUGUUAGAGUUGAAUUGUUAGUUGAUGAGUGUAUUGAUUGUGUUGUUAUGGAUCUAGCUUGAGAAAGUGGGUUUGAAUGCAAUCUUGCAAAUCUAGCUUGAAAAGGUAUAUUGAUUAAGGUAAUGGGUUGUUAAAUUGUUUUGUGCUCGUUGAGGUUCGAAAGAACUCACUUGAUUCGCAAUAGUUGAUUGAGAAAUGAAUAUUGCACCAAAAACCUAGCCUAUCCACUGAUAUUCAAUAACUUUAAGUAACUCGUAAUCACCCAUUACACUAAAUUGACAUUCAAUUUAUCACACUCCCAAGAAACCUUCUUUUUUUUUCUUACUUCCUGUGUUAGUAGUCGUAAAUUUGUUAUUCAAAUCACCACAUUUGACAUUAAUUGUCAAAACCUUGUGAUUUAACUUAUUGUUCUGAAAUUUAUACAUAUACAAACGAUUAGAGCACCAUUUUACUUCUUAAUCGAAUUCUUUAUCGUAUCACUCCCUGUGGGAUCGACCCUAAUUCUUAAUUGAGUUUAUACUUGUUAACGACCGCCUAAACUUAGAAUAGGAUGAAGUGUAGUUGAGUGUUAUCACUCACCUAAAAUGAACUAAUAUUAAGGAGCUAUUCUAAUGUUGAGGCAAGAGGUGAUUACCCGUUCUCUCUAUUGAAAAACAAGAGGCAAUUACCCAUGUCACAUGAUGUAAGGACAACAAGCGAUUACCCAUGUUCCUUGAAAGGAUAAAAUGAAUAUGAUUAAGAACUAUUCUGUGGAAGUUAAGCUACUUAUUUUGGAAAGUGGGACACCCCUUUUCGGUGUGGGAGACACUAGAUUCCCUGUUAAUAGCUCACAUGGUCUUUUAUGUCGGUUCAGGCUACUUCUCACAAGCAAGCUAUGAUGAACUAAGGUUAUUUCAAGAAUUACCUCACAAGUGACUUAAGAUGAUGUCUAGUUGCAUUGACCAUGUUUUAUGACUUAUGUCUUCUAGUUCUUUUACAUUCAUGAUUUAGCUUGGUCAUUGAAAUAUAUGAAAAUUUCCGUUGUCUCAUGUUUUCAAAUGUUUUAUGUAUGGCUAUCAUACUUUGUACAUAUUUUGUACUAACACAUACUCUUGCCUACAUUUCCCCAAAUGUAGGGACCGACCUUAAAUAAUUCACACUUUCGUGGCUAGGGAUCUCAUAUAGAUUAUUGAAGAUUGGUAAGUCCUUAUCACUGGAAGAUCGAGCUUGAUUUCUUUUUAUCAUUACUUUCAGUUUUGAACUUGAUGUACAUGCUAUGCUCCGAUAAACUCUCAUGUACUAGAUGACUUUGAGACGAUGUUUAGACUUCCACUUUUCUCUAUAAAACUUUGAUAUGUUGAAACUCUUUUAAAUCUUAUUCUAUUAUCUUGUAUGAUGAAACCUAAGUGGCUUGUAUGGGUCCUCUCAGGGACUUAUACGCCACGGUGAGCCUAUGGGCUACCUUGGUUCGUGAUUAGUUACCCACAAUAAAACGACCUUAAAUCACAAAAAUCAAUGAAAACCCAUUCCAAAUUGACCUUCAAAUCAACAAUUUUCGAUUUCUAUACUUUGGAUUUAAAAACUCAACUUAUUGGAUAGAAAUAAUGAAAUAUGAAAGGAAUAUUAUUGGAAAAAGAGUAAAAUAGGGUUAGAAAUAUGUAUCCAGUGACUGUGAAAGAAAAGUGCAUCAAAAAUUACCUCAAACCAAGUUUUCUAGCUCCCAAAAAGUCAAAAAUAUAAAACGGGUUUAAUUAGAUUUUUAACUUAGCGAUUUCAUCACUAAAACCCAUUCUAUCGUCACUACAGGUACACACCAACAACAUUGGAAACAUCUAUUUGAUCCUCUAAUCUCAUUCGGAAUUCUAUUAACACAAAACAAUAGUGCAAAUUCAUCAUAAAACAUAUUUUGGAACAAAUGGAAUUGUCGGAUUUCAAAGAAAUAUAUGGUUAUGACCAAAAUACCCACUAUAAACCUAUUUAGGCCAAAAAUUCAAUUCGUUUCCCUAAAUAUCCGAAUUACAACCUAAUGUAUUGGGACUCUAACCGAUCACCUUACUAGAUCAAACUCGAUGUUUCAAACUCAAUAAACUAACGGAAGCUCCAUACAACGCUCGUAACUCAUAAUGUUGACCAAAGUCAACCAUAUAGAAAAUUCUUAACUAAAAAGGGGAAAUAUAACCAAAAACACACCCGAUCACAUCGAGGACCACACCAACCAUUCCCACAACCCAAACUAAGCAUGAAAAAACUAAGAGGAAGGUCAAAAUGAUCAUUUCAUAAUUAAAAUUAAAUUCACAAGAAAUGUGAUAUUACACUAUCUAUCACUAAAACACAUGUUCAUCCCCAAAUGAAAAGCAAAAAAAUAAGAUACUUGAAAGAGUGAAAAACUAAGGGUAUCUAUGACGCAUGUUGGACUCCACCUCCCGCGUUGCCUCCUCAAUAGAUCGGUGUCUCAAAUGCACCUUCACACAGUCAAUAUGCUUGAAUCUCAAAUUUCUAGUCCGCCUAUCCAAGAUAGUAAUCGGCUCUUUCUUGAAGAACAUACUCUAAUCCAGAGCAACAUAAUCCCACUAAAUCACAUCAAAAUCAUCAUGAUGAUAUCGCUUAAGCGUCGAAACAUGGAAAAUGGGGUGAACCGAUGAAAGGCAGGAGGUAAAGCCAACAUAUAGACUAACUCUCCACACUUUCGCGAAAUCUCAAAAGGUCCAAUGAACCACAAACUGAGCUUUCCUUUCUUUCCAAACCAUAUCACACCUUUGUUGGGUGACACCUUAAGCAAAACCAGCUCACCAAUAGCAAAGGACACAUCCCGAACAAGCCUAUCUACAUAGAUCUUCAGCCAACUAUGUGCAUUCACAAGGUGUUGUUGAUUCAUCUCACUCAAUCCAUGGACUCUCUAAACAAAUCAUUGUCUCAAGAUUGAACUCCAAAUGAAUCAUAUUAAAAAAUGUGAGAUCUAUGCCUCUUCCUAUGCAAAGCCUCAAGAUGUUCCAUUUGAAUGGUGGAAUGGUAACUAUUAUUAUAAGCAAACUCAAAAUGAGGUAGGGAUUUUUCCGAAUGACCACCAAAGUACAAGACACAAGCCCAAAGAAUAUCCUCAAACAGUUGAAUAGUCUGCUCAGACUGACCAUCAACAUAAGAAUGGAAAGCGGUACUUACCUCAAGCUUGGUAUCUAUUUGAUACUACAUAGAACUUGAGAAAUGUGAGGUGAACUGGGUACAUCAGUCAGACACAAUCUCAUGAAUGUAGAUUUUGGAUAACUACUUCGCAUUAUAACUAUUUUUGACAGAAAUGAAAUGAGUUAAUUUAGUCAAUCGGUCUAGUAUCACCUAAACAUAAUCAUGCUUAUCCAAAGCAAAGGGUAAUCGAGUCAUAAAGUCCAUAGUAUGUGCUCCCACUUCCAUUCAGGAAUGGGAAUCCUUUACAUCGUACCGUCCGGUCUUUGAUGACCAUACUUUACUUGCUGACAGUUCAAAUACUUGGCUUCAAAGUCCACAAUGUCUCUCUUCAUAUCACAUAUACUAUAGUGUUUCUUCAGUUCAUGAUACAUCUUUCGUGUCCUCGGAUGGAUAUAAUACUUUGAGCACUGGAUCUCCUCUAAUAUCCUACGCAACUAACCACCCACUGUAGGCACACAAAUAUUACCACUAAUCCUCAAUACUCCCUCGAGAUCAAGAGAAGCUGCCUUAGCUUAACCUUUCAAUACUUUGUCCUGAGUCACUCUCAAGUUAUCAUCUUCACACUGGUGGGCAGGAAUCCAAUACAUCAAAGUAUACCUAGGUUAAACAAAGGCUUAACAUAGUGAGUUGUAGAAAUAUCAAGUCGAACCAACUGUUUAGCCAAUGAAUGAACCUCCAAGGCCAUAGGUCUCUCAUCUGCCUUAAGAAAGGCUAAACUACCCAUUCUAGGAGUUUUCUGAAUUAAAGCAUCUGCUACCACGUUUGCCUUUCUUGGAUGAUAAAGAAUGGUAAUGUCAUAGUCUUUUAACAAUUUCAACCAUCUACACUGCCUCAUGUUAAGAUUUUGCUGAGAAAAGAGAUACUUAAGGCUAAGAUGAUCAGUAAAGAUCCCACAAUGCACACCUUAGAAAUAAUGCCUUUAUAACUUCAAAAGCAACACCAUUAUCACUAACUCUAAAUCAUGAGUAGGGUAGUUCUUGUCAUGUACCUCCGACUAUUGAGAAUCAAUAAGUAUCCUCAUACUAUCAUCCUUCUUAUUGCCAAAUAAGAUUGGUACUCCCCAAGGUGAUACACUAGGUCGAAUAAAUCCUUUCUGCAAUAAGUCCUCCAAUCUAGCGUCUAAUUCCAUCAACUCCGCCAGAGUCACCUAGUAAAGAUACAUGGAAAUAGGCUUAGUGCUCGGUUUCAAGUCAAUAAAAAAAUAAUUAUGACAUUUAGGUUGAACACCUGGUAAGUAUCUAGGAAACACAUCCAUGAACUCUCUUACAACUCUCGUUGCCUCCAAAAAGGAUUGAUCUUUAGAAAGAUCACAAACAUGGGCCAGAUAAGAUAAGCAUCCCUUCUCCAUCAUACAAUGGGCACAAAGAAAGAAUAUCUCUCCCUUCAGAUACGAACUCAGCGCACUCUUCCAUACCAAUCAAGGUAAACUGGGUAAGCUAAGGUCACAGUCUUAGCAUAACUAUCAAGGUCCGUGUGAUAAGAAGACACCCAACCCAUACACAAUAUCACAUCAAAGUCAAUCAUAUCAAGAAAAAUCAGGUCUACCUGAGUGUCAUUAUCAGACAAUUUCACUACACACCCUUGAUACACCCAAUCAAGGACUAAGAAAUUUCCUAUCGGGGUAGAGACACUAAUAAGCACAAAAAGGGACUCAAAAACAUGAUAAAUACCCACAACAAAAUAAGUAGACACAAAAGAAUAGGUCGACCUGAGAUCAAAUAAUAAUGUAGCAAAACAACGACAAACUGGAACGAUACAUGUGAUCAUUACAUUUGAAACCUCUGCCUCAGAUCUACCAUGUAUAGCAUAUAACUGUAGCAAAUCAAUGACAGACUGGAACGGUACAUGCUAUCAUUACAUCUCAAGCCUCUACCUCAGAUCUACCAUGUAUAGCAUAUAAGUGUAUGUGGUCACCACUAGUCUAAAAGCACUACACGCACCACCUUAAGCUCCCUGAGCUCCACCUUUGGUGCCCUUGGCACCCUUUUCUACCACUUUGAGAAGUCCCUCGUGCCGCUGUAGGUAGUGUAAAAUGAGUAGCUUGUGACCUAGGCUAGUAGAAGAAGCACGUAUGGGUCAAUCCUUUGCCUUGUGCCCAAACUCCUCGCAAACAAACCAACCACAUAGACAAUAACCCCACUGAAAGUAACCAGAAGAGUCUUCAUGCUGACAUGAGGACCCACUAUGCGUAUCCUAAUCGAUUGACUAGGACAGGAUCCACUAAUGCUAUCUGAAAUUUGAACCUGAAUGGAAUCCUAAAUUGGUCUAUCCUGAUAACCCUAUGAGCCAUGACCUAAUUAAUCUAUACAUCUAAUCGUAAUUAGCGACAUACUCGGAAACUAAUAAGGAUCCGUACUUUAAUCUACCGAACUCAUCCUUGCGUUGAUCUCAAAGGUUGUAGGGAACAAUCCUCUGAAGGAACACCUCAGUAAAUAGCACACCAACAGAUAAAAGGAGAACCAACGAUCCUAUGAGAAAGAAUUGAUCUCUACCACUCCUGGCAACUCCUGAAAACUGAUAAGAAGUGUAACAUAAUCCAUGGGCCUUUAACAUACCAUGGUUGAACAACCUUUUGUGAAACCAGUCAAAAAGUCAUAAGCCUUCUCUUAAUGUGUACUGUCAAACCUGGGAGAUGGCAAUCUGAAAAAUCUCUCAAAACUCUUUUUCUCGGCAACAUACAUCAUUGAACUAUCAAAGAUUUGUGGAGUUGCAAAUAUCGGAGGUGCCAAAGAAGGUACUGAAGCUGAACUACAAAUCUGAAAUCCCUUACUAGGAACCUGAAUUUGUGGUGUAGCACAUACUUUAAUAGGUGAAUCUGUAGUGCUCGAUGGAUAAAAGAAGUAAGGAUACUAUCAAAUCUAGCCAAUAACCUAACAAUUAACUUCUGAAGCAUCGAGCACUAGCAGGAACAACAUGAGGUUGGGCUAGUCCCCAUACCUCAGUCUAUUUUUGAAUAACAUCAUCAUGCUCAAAUACGAGCUCAAGCAAUGCCUCUCUAGCUCAUCAUCGAGUAGGAGCCUCCCUCUCGAACCUGACCUUCACCCCUUAACAAAAAAAUAAUUGAUUAGUGGUUUACAACACUUGAUAUGAAUAACUCACAUUAUAAGGAAUCAAAGAAAAGGAAUUCAUCCUACUAGGUAUCUUGUAGCCUCACGAAAAUAGGUACAACCGUUUACGUCCUGAUUGACAAUAAUUUACUAGAUGCCCUAUUUUUUAACUUAUGGUACUGGUGAACCUAGUGCUCUGUUACUAAUUCGUCAUGACCCAAAAGCCAAGGUCAUUAUGGCAUAUACCCCAUGAACUCCAAAAUGGUGUGUAAGAAAAAUAAUCAAACAUACAAGUCUCUCGAAGGGAAGUCAAGCCACGAUGAUAGAAAAACAACAAAGAAUAUCCCAAAACAUGGUAGCAUAAGUAUAAAGAGCAUCUAAUACAUUUCUAGAAUCUAAAAUACAUCUCAAGUCUUUGAAAAAAGUCAAAGGCUUUAAAUAAUGGACGGAGACUAAUGGUGAUCUGCAAAAUAGGAUCUCACCACAACUCCAAAAGAGAGAACUCCGGUAGAUCUAGUCAACUUAUACAUGGCUCACCCUAACUAGGAUCUCCAUCAAAGGGAUAAAAGAAGUAGGGGCUGAGUACAAUCCACAAGUACUUAGUAGGCUUGACCGACUAAGAAAAAAGAAUUAAUCAACUUAUGAAGUAUACUAAGGAACACUUUAACCUGCAUACAGAAAAGUCCCAUUCCGUCAUCAAUGUCACCAAUUAAAAAUGAACAACAAGAGUAAAGUAAACACAUAAGGUCACAAAAGUUCCCAUAUCACAGACAAGUCAAGCAAUUCAAAUGAUUAAUGCAAUGCAAUGAGAUGGUGCAAUGAUGUGGUUGUACACAGGAAUCAACGUUGUCGCACAACUUAUCGUAUACACCCUAUCGAGCUCGGGAUCCUAGAAAAUUACUUAUGAUGGACUCACAGUCCAUAUAUUUCAUGACCCGAGAGCUCUAGUCGUAACACGGUGUACUCGACCCCGAAGGGGUCAAAUACAAGCCUCAUAAAAUUCUUGAACAUAAGAACAUAGGAAAAUAAAGAAGAAUUUAAAACUUUCUUUACAAUCAAUGAUAUUUCGAUUAAAAGCAAGCGGAAGACGUUCUAGAAUUUAUAUACAAUGUCUCAAACCAUCUAAUACUUUACCCAUACUAAAGCUUUACCAUAAACUAAAAGACAUAAAGGAACAAAGUGGGUAUUGUCCUCGAAACUAUGAGGACUCACCAAGUCUUCAUCUUCAAGCACCUUAGAAACCUAUCCUUCAAGCCUAGAAUACCAAUAUCUCCAAACCCUACACUUUGGUAAGAAGGGAGAAGAAAUAUGGGUUAGCACAUUAGAUGUACUAAGUAUGGAAGACAUGGAAAAACAUGAUUAAAAGGGCAUCUUUGUUUGAAAGUCAUGAUAUAUGCUAUUAUAGUAAAAGUUCACGAACAUUGAUAAAAGAGGCAUAAUAUAAGUCACAACCAACAUGGAAGUCACAUUUUCACAUUAGAACAUAAUCCACAUAUGAACCUAUGCCUUCACCUUAAGCCUUAACCUCAAGUAACCCUCAAGCUAUAUUUUGUGCAAUGUAUGGAUAGCGUCCCAUACCACCAUCCACACCAAAGUACCACCUAAAGGUCACCAAAAGUGAACAUACCAUUCAACCUUUCCAUCUUCACACAAUAAAAAAUACAAGAGACAUAAACAUUUCAUCAGACACAUCAUCAGAUUAAGACCAACAUCUAGGACAACUCUAAGUCAUACUUGUGCAAGGUGCAAGUAGCAUCCCAUACUACUACUCAAACUAAGUACUCUUUUGAAGUCACCAUAGAUAAGGCACAUUCAUACUCAACAAGUCAUAACAAGGAAGUAACUCAUAAUACAAUCAAAGUAUAACAUGCAUCUUCACAUUAGACAUAUAAGAAUUUAAGUCACCCAUUCUUCAUUAGCUUCAUUAAGAACACCUCCAUUCAUUAGACAUUAAGCCAAUAUUAUUAGUAACAUUAUCAUAAGAGCUCAUUCAUUUCAAUUAACAUUAUAAAGGAACACACCGUGACCACUCUCAAAGCCUACUUGUGCAAUGCAUAGAUGGUGUCCCAUACCACCACCCAUACUAAGUAGUGCAUCCUUGAGAAGUCAUAGUUAAUUAGUUCGUGGGGGUAAGCCUUAACCGACAUAGUCCAUGAGAUCUUGACUUGGAAUCCCAGUGUCACCCUCACCGGAUAAGGGAUUCCUACUUGCCUAAGGUAGGAGCAUUCAUUUUAGCUUAAGUGCAUCCACUAGCUAGACCUAUGUGGGCACAUAGUUAUGGGAUAGGGAGAUUGCUACUAGAUACCCUGCCUCAACUCACGGAUGACCAUCCAUCUCAAGAGGUUGCUACUAGAUACCCCGCCUCAACUCACGUAUGAGCAUUCACCCCAAUUCCUAUCCACUAGGUGAUUGGCAUUAUUCCCCACGUAGUACUUGACAUUGAUUUCAUUAGUUCAAUAUGAGAUAAGGGAUUGCUACUAGAUACUCCACCUCAACUCCCGGAUGAGUAUCCAUUACAACCUAACAUUCAUUCAUUGGAAAGAUCAUAGAUUCAAAGAUGAGAAUAGCCUUUCACCUAAGAAUCCCAUAUUGUGAGAAAGUCCUUGGAAAACAUGUAUUUUUUUUCAUUAGAGUACAAUUGAGAAUAGCCUUUCAAUAGACUCAACAUUCAUUAAUAGUAUCAUAGAACUUCAUUCAUUAGUCAUUCGUGAGUGUGUGUGAGUAUGUGAGAAUAGCCUUUCACAUAUAGCCUCAUCAUUCAUACCAUUGCCUUCUAAACAUGAUUAUAACUCAUUCAUAAGGAUCACACACAUAUAAUUCUAAUCAUAUUCAUACAUUAACCAUUCAUUCAUUCAUGAGUGUCGGAUUGAGACAUAGCCUUUCAAUAAUAACACAUUUACAAUGUAGACAAGAUCAUCAUUCUAUCAUUAUAAUCCCAUGCAUAUCCUUCACAUCACAUUCAUAUAUAAAACAUCAUGAUAAUACUUCAAUUACUCACACUAUGCCUUCAAGGCCAUGAUCACAUUGUACAUAAUAAGUAAACACCUCCACCUUUCAAGUGGAUCAAUAUACAAAGUAAGUAAACACCUCUACCUUUUAAGUGGAUCAAUAGCUCAAGCAUAAUUCUAACUCAACAUGAAAUUAGGUCAUCACUUGCCCUUUCAAGGCCAUGAUCAUAAGUCACCAACAAACCUUUAACUAAUAUAAUUAGGCAUGAAUAGUGAUUCAAUUCAACAAUCUAAAUCAGUUUAGGCAUAAUCCAUCAACAUUCAUUCAUGAUCAUCAAACCCACUUCAUAAGGUACAAUUUAGGAAUUGAGAGAAUUCAUGGGUUCGUAUAUUAUUUUCAUUAUAAAUAAUAAAUUAAACACUAAUACAAUCAUAAUUUGUCAUUGGAAACCAUUUGAAAAUGUUUGAUGAAAGAACCCAUGAUAUUGAGUGAAAACCUAGAUUUUCAUGAUUUGAAAUCUUCUUUGAAUUCGCUCCUUGAAUGGAAAAUUAGACAAGGAUUAAGACCACCAUACCUUUUACUUGAAGAAUCCCACGAAACAUCCUUGAAAACUUGAAGAAUUUGACCUUGAAAUCUUGAAGUCUUCACCUCCCAUGGAGGUUUCUAGAGAGAGAUUUUUGGAGGGGAGGGAAGGUUUUGAUUUGGGGUUUUUGAAUAAUGAAAUCUAAAAUAGGGUUUAAAUGUUUUAAUACUCUUAAAAUAUGUUAAUAAACCUAAAAUAACCGUCCAAACACUUAACUAGCCAAGGGAGGAAUUUACCAGACCACCUUUGGCUUGGCUGUGUCGUGAUAGCACACAUAGGUGCAAACGACGCCCAGACUCACGGACCGUGAGUCCAUUCACCGACCGUACUGCUAGUCCUUGGUCUGGGGCUGGGGCUUGGCAAAAAGGGGGCAUGACCUACAGGGCAAGACCAUGAGCCGUAGAUCAAUCUACUGGCCGUGGAUUGCAUCCGUGGUUCACAAGGUUUUGGCAGCUUUUUGCUUGAAGGGGCAGCCUUGGGGUUAGGCUUUAGGGUCCCCCUCAAGGACCCUUGGUUGGUCCUUGGGGGGUCGUACCUUGAUGUUUAAUCCCUAAAACCCUCAACCAUAGCUCGGGAAAACAUUUAACAACAUGAAACCUCAUUCAAACCUCACAUCAAACUCAAACACACACACGUUAGGCUCUAGUUUCACUUAUUCACUUUUAGGGUCAUUAAAUUAUCCCCCACUUAGGAACAUUCAUCCUCGAAUGACACUUAAAACACAUUAAGGGAAAACGACUCAAGACUAGGAGCCCAUCAUGCAUGCAAUCAUCAUAAAUAAUGCACAAAACAAGGAGGAAAUCUCCACUCCACAUCAAACAAACUCCAUACAAUUCAAGAAAGUAGGAACUAUAUCUACAAACUCAUUAUGCAACAAAACUUCACAUUCUUCAUUUCAUUGGAGGAACUUCUUUCUCCAAAUCACAUCAUGCUCAUCAUAACAUCAUUAAGCACAUUUAAGAAAUUUUCUCAUAAAAGCACAUUUAGGCAUGUGCAACAUUUAACCUCAUGAAGCAUGUAAGUAGCUCAUACUAAAUGCACAUUCACAUGAGGAACAUAAUUCAUGAAAACUCAUUUUCUCAUUCAAUCAAGAAUUCAUUAAGAACAUGUAUAACAUAAGGAGACCAUGGAAACACAAUAUCACACAUGACUCAAAAAACAUGAAACAAGCCAAGAAGGAACUCUUUGUCUUAGGCUUGAAUAGGCAUAUAAAGAAAGAGGUAAGGAUAUCAGAAUUGUCAACAACCUUACUAAUCAACAUACUAUCCCCGACUUAGGAUUAAACCCAACUAAGGAACCUUAACAAGACAUUCACAACCAUAAGGAACUAUCAACAAAUCGGUGCUUUUAAACUAGGAAGGUCCUUAUUAAGCAUCUCUUACUCACAACAACAUUACCAACACCACUCAAGGUGUCAUAUGGGUCUACCACACCGGGUCUAAACUCCUCAAACUCACUACAUCUCAUAAGGUGAGAACAUCAAGCAAGCCUAACUCAUGAACAUCAAAGUUACUCAAAGACCUUACCAUCAAGGUACAUUCUCCCCCAUUUGGGAGAAAACUUAUACUCGCUCUUUCAAACUUUACUUCUCUCCAUUCUAAUGUCGGAGAAAAACAUCUCUAAACCUUCAUACUCAUCACUUAACACCUAGGCAUUUCUAAAACACCACAUUUCAUCAACUCCUUCAACAUACCUCAAGACUCAUCAUGACUAAGCCGGGUUCUACCAACAACACACAUAACCAUAAGGCAACCCAUUCAUACUAAAGUUAACACUACAAUCUAUCAUCUCAACUCUAUCAAGUAACAUAGUCGUAAUUGGCCUCAUAACCAACCUUCCUCCCGCACACCUUCUAACAUACUCCUUCAAGCGGUCAUACACUAAAGACCAUAGGAUAAGGAACAAGAGGGAGACACUAUAGAGCUAAAAUCUAUGGCACGACUUGAAGAAUGAAGAAGUGAGAUUUUCUUAACACCCAAUAGUCUCCUAUUCAUAAUGUGGCGCGCUUCACAUUAUGAACAAGACUCUACUAGAUGUGGUUUGAGACAUCCUAAGACCAUUCCAAAAUCUUGUGCUCUAAUACCAUAUUUGUCACGACCCGAGAGCACCCUCUAGUCAUAACACGACGUACUUAACCACGAAGGGGUCUAAUACAAGCCUCAUAGCAUUCUUGAACAUAAAAACAUAGGAAAAUAGAGAAGAAUUUAAAACUUUCUUUACAUCCGAAGACAUUUCCAUUAAAAGCAUGCGGAAGACUUUCUAGACUUUAUAUACUAUGUCUCAAACCAUCUAAUACUUUUCAUACAACAAUGAGACUUAGCCCAUACAAAAGCUUUAACAUAAACUAAAAGACAUAAAGGAACAAAGUGGGUAUUGUCCUCGAAAGUAUGAGGACUCACCAAGUCUUCAUCUUCAAGCACCUUGGAAACCUAUCCUUCAAGCAUAGAAUACCAAUAUCUCUAAACCCUACACUUUAGUAAAAUGGGAGAAGAAAUAUGGGUUAACACAUUAGAUGUACUAAGUAUGGAAGCCAUGCAAAAACAUGCUUAAAAGGACAUCUUUGUUUGAAAAUCGUGAUAUAUACCAUUUUAGUAAAAGUUCAUGAACAUUGAAAAGAGGCAUAAUAUAGGUCACAACCAACAUGCAAGUCACAUUUUCACAUUAGAACAUAAUCCACAUAUGGACCUUUACCUUCACCUUAAGACUUUACCUCAAGUAACCCUUAAGCUAUACUUUGUGCAAUGUAUGGACAGCGUCCCAUACCACCAUCCACACCAAAGUACCACCUUAAGGUCACCAAAAGUGAACUUACCAUUCAACCUGUUCAUCUUCACACAAUAAAGCAUACAAGAGACAUAAACAUUUCAUAACUCACAUCGUCACAUUAAGACCAACAUCUAGGACAACUCUAAGUCAUACUUGUGCAAGGUACAAGUUGCAUCCCAUACUACUACUUACACUAAGUACUCCUUUGAAGUCACCAUAGACAAGGCACAUUCAUACUCAACAAAUCAUAACAAGGAAGUAACUCAUAAUACAAUCCAAUUAUAGCAUGCAUCUUCACAUUAGACAUAUAAGCAUUUAAGUCACCCAUUCUUCAUUAACUUCAUUAAGAACACCUUCAUUCAUUAGAUAUUAAACCAACAUUCCUAUUAACAUUAUCAUAAGAGGUCAUUCAUUUAAUUUAACAUUAUAAAGGAACACACCAUGACCUCUCUCAAAGCCUACUUGUGCAAUGCAUAGAUGGCGUCCCAUACCACCACCCAUACUAAGUAGUGCAUCCUUGAGAAGCCAUAGUUCAUUAGUUUGUGGGGGUAAUCCUUAACCGACAUAGACCAUGAGAGCUUGACAUGGAAUCCUGGUGUCACCCUCACCGGAUAAGGGAUUCUUAUUUGCCCAAGGUAGGACCAUUCAUUUUAGCUUAAGUGGAUCCACUAGCUAGACAUAUGUGGGCACAUAGUUAUGCGAUAGGGAUAUUGCUACUAGAUACCCCGCUUCAAUUCAUGGAUGAUCAUUCAUCUCAAGAGGUUGCUACUAGAUACCCCUCCUGAACUCACGGAUGAGCAUCUACCCUAAUUCAUAUCCACUAGGUCCUUGGCAUUAUUCCCCAUGUAGUACUUGACAUUCAUUUCAUUAGUCCAUUAUGGGAUAAGUGAAUGCUAAUAGAUACUCCGCCUCCACUCCCGGAUUAGUAUCCAUCCCAAAAACACAUUUAUUCAUUGGAAAGCUCAUAUAUUCAAAGAUGAGAAUAGCCUUCCACCUAAGAAUCCCAUAUUGUGGGAAAGUCCUUUCACAACAUAUCUUUUCUUUCAUUAUAGUACAAUUGAGAAUAGCCUUCCAAUACACUCUACAUUCAUUAACAUUAUCAUAGAACUUCAUUCAUUAGUCAUUGAUGAGUGUGUGUGAGUAUGUGAGAAUAGCCUUUCACAUAUAGCCACAUCAUUCAUACCAUUGCUUUUUAAAUAUAAUUAUAACUCAUUCAUAAGGAUCACACACAUAUAAUUCUAAUCAUAUUCAUAUAUUAACUAUUCAUUCAAUCGUGAGUGUCACACUGAGAAAUAUCCUUUCAAUAAUAACACAUUUACAUUCUAGGAAAGAUCAUCAUUCUAUCAUUGAAAUCCCAUGCAUAUCUUUCACACACAUUCAUAUAUACAACAUCAUGAUAAUACUGCAAUUACUCACACUAUGCCUUCAAGGCCAUGAUCACAUUGUACAUAAUAAGUAAACACCUCCUCCUUUCAAGUGGAUCAAUAUACAAAGUAAGUAAACACCUCCACCUUUCAAGUGGAUCAAUAGCUCAAGCAUAAUUCUAACUCAACAUGAAAUUAGGUCAUCACUUUCCCUUUCAAGGCGAUGAUCAUAAGUCACCAACAAACCUUUAACUAAUAUAAUUAAACAUGAAUAGUGAUUCAAUUCAACAAUCUAAAUCAAUUUAGGCAUAAUCCAUCAACAAUCAUUCAUGAUCAUCAAACCCACUUCAAAAGGUACAAUUUAGGAAUUGAGAGAAUUCAUGGGUUCAUAGAAUAUUUUCAUCAUAAAUCAUAAAUUAAAAACUAAUAAAAUCAUAUUUUUUCAUUGGAAACGAAUUGAAAAUAUUUGAUGAAAGAACCCAUGAGAUUGAGUGAAAACCUAGAUUUUCAUGAUUUGAAAUCUUCUUUGAAUUGGCUCCUUGAAUGGAACAUUAGACAAGGAUCAAGACCAACACACCUUUUACUUGAGGAAUCCCACGAAACAUCCUUGAAAACUUGUAGAAUUUGUCCUUGAGAGCUUGAAGUUUUCACCUCCCAUGGAGGUUUCUAGAGAGAGACUUUUGGAGGGGCGGGAUGGUUUUGAUUUGGGAUUUUUGAAUAAUGAAAUCUAAAAUAGGGUCUAAAUGUUUUAGUACUCUUAAAAUAUGCUAAUAAAUCCAAAAUAACCAUCCAAACACUUAACUAGCGAAGUGAGGAAUUUACCAAACCACCCUUGGCUUGGCCGUCUUGACAGCACACACAGGUGCAAACGAUGCCCCAGACUCACGGACUGUGAGUCCAUUCACGGACCGUACUGCUGGUCCGUGGUCUGGGGCUGGGGCUUGGCAAAAAGGGGGCUUGACCUACGAAGCAAGAUAACGAGCCAUAGAUCAAUGUACUGGUCGUGGAUUGCAUCCGUGGUUCACAAGGUUUUGGCAGAUUUUUCCUUUAAGGGGCAGCCUUGGGGUUCCCCUCAAGGUCCAUUGGCUGGUCCUUGGGGGGUCGUACCUUGAUGUUUAACCCCUAUAACCCUCAACCAUAGCUCAGGCCAACAUAGAACAACAUGAAACCUCAUUCAAACCUCACAUCAAACUCAAACACACAUGUUAGGCUCUAGUUUCACUUAUUCGCUUUUAGGGUCGUUACAAUAUGCCUACUCACAAUCUCAAUAUCUCAUUAAACUUGCCACCUCAGCAUUGUCAAGGAUAUAAAAAUGUGUCUGGUUUUUUUCUCAAAAGGAAUGUCCACAUUUUCUCAAUUUUGCAAAAAAUGAUAUGAUGAAUGAGGAUGGACGCAUCACAACACAUAUAUAACAUAGAGGCAAUAAUCAACUCAACAUGUAUCAACUAUAUACAUUUUUCAAAACUCAGCCAAAUCAUGAUGUACACCCUCAUAUGAAAUAAAUAGUGUGCAAUAGUUUAUUUGGAAUAAGUGAAUUCAAUUUAGAAAGCAUUUCGUUUAGUCAAAGAAUUAUAAAGUUUCCAACUUAACCCCUCGCCCAGGCUUUAGAGGUAAAAUAGAAUUACAUGUCUCUCUCAUAGGCAACUCAUGAAUCAUAUGCUCUAAAAAAACAACAAUUAAGGCCUCAACACAUGCUAAAUAAAAACAUAUUACCCCCAAAAAGGCAGCAUAAUAUAUUUAUUCCUCCGCACUGGCAACACAAUACAACUCACAACCUAAAAUUAUGUUAUGAUCCCAUCCCACAACCUAAGACAUAAGACAAAUCAAUUACUCAAUCCCACUCUAGGAGAAUAUAACACCCCGUAGUCUAGUAAACCAUCUAGGGUUAUGUUCGAGGGCUACAAGUCAAGACUAGAGGGCAUGAGCCAAGGCAAGGGGGCAAGAGCCAAGCCUGCCCCAAGCUUGCCAUGGAACUACCUAUGACCACGAGAUCCUUCACAGCUCAUGGUGGCCACCACAGAUCAUCGUGCCACCCGUGGUGGUGAGGUAGUGUGCCCCUCAAGGCAGCCCAAAAUGGCCUCCUCCACACGAGCCACUUCACGGCUCGUGGGAGUGGUAGUUAAGGUACCUUCAACUUUUGGGAAGCCAAGCCCUCAUGCCAAGCUACUGGACCAUGGACCAUGAGCAGGACCACAGCUCGUGGUCUUGACCACGGCUCGUGAGCCCUGUCGUGGUGCCUGGCACCAUGCUGCUUAAGUGAGGGCAAAAUAGGAAAUUCCUUUUUUAUCUAGUAUUAAGUGGGGUCGUUUUUUAUAGAGUUUAUACCAUUAUAUAAGUUAUUUUAACACUUUAACCACCUCAAUUAAGUCAUUAUUUCCCAAGACCCAAAUCAAAUCCCCAAAAGCUCUGCUCUCAAAUAUUUCUCUCUCUAGAAAACUCAAGAAGAAGAAGAAAAAGAAGAGGGUCAAGCUAGAUUAAGUCUCCAUUGUUUCAAGCUUGGUAGGAUUUGUAAUCAAGUUAUGAUGGAUUAUUCUUUCAUUUAUUCCUUUCAUCGAUGAAGCCCCCAUGUUUCCCCCAAUUGUGAAUAUGAAUCCCCAAUUCUAAUUAGGGUUCCUUCCUAUAUUGUGGGUAUUGUUGUAUGUUAAUCCAAUUUCGUGAAUAAUGGUUGUUUAUGAUUGAUUAUGAUGUAAUUGCAUGUUUUUAGUAUGACCAUGUGUGUAUUCUUGAUCGAUCUAAGAUUUUAGGAUGAAAUUGAUAUAGUUGGGUCUUAUGCCAUGAAAGAGGAAAUUGAGGGCUUAGAAGUGAUCUCCUAAGAUUGAUGAAUUACUUUAUGAAUUAUUUGAGAUUAGACUAUCUAAAUAUGAAUUGCUUAAAAGUAAAUCUUGUAAACAUGAAUUAAUUAGAUUAGGGAUUAUAUGAUGAAUCAUUAUUAAGUUGUAUUGAGAUUGAGUUUAAUGAUGAUAUAUGACUAGAAAUGCUUAAGGAUGAAGCAUGUGGUUAGAUUGUCUUUAGAAUUAGGCAAAUAUGGUUACCAUGUGAAGUAUUUCUUGAGAGUAAGGCUUGUAGUAUGAAUGUGAGCUUUAGGGCUUUAAGGGUAAGAGCUAAUAUGAAUGAACUAAGAAUGUUAAGGCUUUAAGAGUGAAGUUAUUAUGUAUAUUGAUUUUUAUAAGGUAUUAUUCUGGAAGGACUUCACCCACAUGACCUAUAUUAUGAGUAUAUGCGAUCAUGUAUGUAAUUGAUUUGAUUGCUUGAAUUGUGAUUAUAUCCAUGUCUAAUGUAGUCAUCCUAGAUAUGUUGAUUUAAAAUGAUCUUUGACCCUUGAAAGGGUAAUAUAUGAUAAUAUGCAUGUUUUAUGAGACUUAUGUAUAUGCUUUAAGAACCCUUUUUUGAGUUAGGUGAUUAUGACUAUGAUGUAAUGGUGGUGUUGUUCAAAGGCUACCCUCAUAUACACACUUAUGCAUGACUAUAAAUGAAGUGUCCAUGAUUAUGAUAAUGUUGUUGUGUUGAUUGAAUGGUUAUUCUCAUGAACACAUAAUGAACAUGAUGUGAAAGGUUUUCUCACAAUAUGAUAAUUCUAAGGGUGAAAGGCUUGCUCACCUAAUUGAAUCUAACACGAACAUGUAGAUAUAGAUGGUGAAAGGCAUUUCUCCCACAUGAUCUAAUGAGCUAUCCUAAUAAAACAAGUUAGGGCUUAACAAGUACUCUAUGGGAAUUAUGCUUAGCACCGAGAUGAUAUUGAAUAUGAGAUAAAAGCUUUUACAUCAGUUGAGUCCGCCUUUCCAAAUAGGUUCCUUCUACGUCAGUUGAGUCCAGGUCCCCUAAACAUGUAUCUCAUGAGAUGGAUACCUUCUACCAUAGUUGAGUCCGGGUUUCUAGUAGCAAUAUCCAUAUCCCAUAAACUACAUGCCCCCGUAGGAUAUUUAGCUGUUGGAUCCACCUAAAGAUAACAUGCCAUGGUCUUACCUUAGUCAAGUAAGACAACCCUUUUCAGUGUGGGUAACACCGAAUUCCAUGAUAAGCUCACAUGACCUAUGUUGGUUAAGGCUAAAUCCCACUAUCAAAAAAUGGCUAUGAAAUAUGAACUAUGGUUACUUGAGGAGCUUUACUUAGCAUGGUGAUAUUACUGGAAAUUACUCAUGCAUUGCACAAGUAUGCUUUGAGGGUAUUCAUUGUAUGUUCUCUUAUGUUAUGAUGAUCUAUGUAAUGAAUAAGCUUAUGACUUGUGCUUGUGAUGUAUGCUUGGUUGGAUUGUAGCUUGAAAGGCCCUUCCAAUACAUGUGUGACUAAAGGUGAAUGUUCCAUUGUCUAUGAAAAAUAAGCUAAGGAUGAGGUCAAAUAGUAAGUAUGAUUAUUGUGGCCAAAAAGGGUACUUAGCAUGGGUGCGAUUAUGGGGUCUUAUCUAUGCAUUGCACAAGUAUACUUGGAGGUUUCUUAUGAAGUAUUUCCUUAUGAAAUGAAGGUCUAAGUGUUUACUAUGUAUAUGGACCAUGCUUUAUGACGCUUGAACUAUGCCUAUGUUGGAUAUUAUGCUUAUGAUUAGAUUGUUAUCUUUUAUGUUUAUAACCUAUGUCUCAUGAUGAUGUCUCUUAUACUUAUGACUUAUGUUAUUGCCUCUUAUGGUUAAGGUAUAUGUCUUAUGCUGAUUAAUGCCUCUUAUGUGCUUAUAUUGAUGAUUUAUGCUAGCCAUCAUAUUUAGUACAUUAUUGUGCUAUCACAUACUUUUGCCUACAUUCUUAUCAAAUGUAGGGUUUGGCAAUAUUGAGUUCUAUUCUCGUGGCUAGGUUCUAGUAGAGCAAAUUAGUUGAAGACUUGGUGAGUGCUCAUAGCAUCGAUGAUUUGAUCACCUUUCUUUUAUGUUCUACACUAUUGUAUGGGCUGCGUCCCAAAGUUUUAUUUAAGUGGUUUAGAUGGUUUGAGACAAAAUGUUUUAGACUUCCGCUUGUUUUUAUAAAAGACUUCGAUUGUUAUGAAAAUUGUUUUAAAUUUUCGCAUCAUUUCUAUUAUGUUAUGUUAUUAUAUACUAAGGGGCUUGUAUGACACCCCUUCAGGGUUGAGUACGCCUUGUUACAUCUAGGGGGUACCCCUGGGUCGUGACAAACUUGGUAAUCAGGGCACAAGGUUUAGAAUGAUUCUAAGAUUGUCUCAAAACCAUGUCUAGUAGUGUCUUGUUCAUAAGUGUGAAGAGCGCCACAUUUAUGAGUAGGAAUCUAUUAGAUGGUUAGGAAAUCUCACUUCUUCAUUCUUUAUGUCGUGCCAUAGAGUUUAACUCUAGUAGGUCUUUCUCCUAAUUUGUGUGAUUUUUAGGAUAUGGCUGAUACAAGAAAAAAUACUAGGAGGAAAGAGGAAGACAAUGUGAAUCAAGAAGUUCCUCCCCAUGCUAUAGUUGACCCUUUAGCUGUGAAUGUGACUAAUAAGAAGUUUAGGAUUGGUUUUCAAAUGUUGACUCAGGCUGGGAUAGAAACUCUAAAAUUUUAUGGGUUAAAGAUGGAGGAAGAUUUUCAGGAUUUUAUACAUGAGGUCUCAAAGGUGUUGGACUUUGUUGGAGUGACUCCUGUAGAGAAGGCGGAGUUGGCUUCUUACAAACUCAAAGGGGUUGCUCAAGUAUGGUUUAAUCAAGGGAAAGAGGCUAGACCGGUGGGAAUGGGUCCCGUAGAAUGGGAAAGGUUCAAGAGUGUGUUUCUAGAUUGGUUCUUCCCUCUAGAGGUGAGAGACGUUUUGGUGCUUGAGUUCAUCAAACUUAGGCAAGGUAAUAUGAGUGUUAAGGAAUAUGCAUUGAGGUUCAGCCAAUUGUCUAAGUGUGUUCCACGUUUGGUGUCCUAUUCUAGAUUGAAGAUGAGUAAGUUUGUAUCGGGAUUGUCCGAUUUACUAGUAAAAAAAUGUUGUACAACCAUGCUUGAUAAUGAUAUGAAUAUUUCUCGUCUUGUGGCUUAUGCUCAACAAAUUGAUGAAGAGAAACUUGAAGUAAGGUUUAGGGAGAAAAAGAGGCUUAGGGUUGAUGAUGAUAAUUCUUCUCUUGAAAGGUUCUCCGGACAAGGUCCUUCUAGUUUUUCCCCCAAGAUUUAUUGAAGAAAGGGUGUCUAACCCUAAGUCUUAAGUAAAGGAUGGUAGAGCCAUAUUACCUUCUUGUGUUAGAUGUGGCAAAAGACGUAAAGGUAGAUGUUUGUCCGGUAUGGAAUAUUGUUAUGGUUGUGGUAGGAGUUGCCACAAAAUAAGAGAUUGCCCAGUACUUACCGCUUGGGGAAGAGAGAGGAACGAAAUUAGGUCCUAUGCUCUCCAAGCUAGAGGUUAACAAGAGAGUUCUCCGAAUGUUGCUCCCGGUAUGUGUUUUAUGCUUAUUUAGAUUCCGGUGUUUCUUGUAUUUUGUGUGACUUGAUAGACUUAAUAUGUUAGACUUUGAUGUUGUCCUUAGUAUGAAUGAGUGGCAUUGAUGUUUAGUGAUAUUGAUGGUAGAACCCUACUUGGCCAUUUUGAGUGUUGGGUAAGUUAGAAGGUUUGAGGAAUAGGGUGUUUAAGUAAUUCCUACUAGUGUUGAAUGAGUAGACUCCUCUAAAAAGGAUAGAAGUGUAAUCCACCAUGGUUUAGAAUCAUCUUGUAUGGCGGAUGUGAAAACAUAGUGAUGACUUGCUCUUGCCUUAGAAUUGAAAGGAAAUGAUGGUUAGAAGAGUUCGUAUAGUCUUACUCCCAAGGGGGAAAUCACGUGCUUAGAUAGCAAGGUCGUUGAGUGUUCUUGAUGCUCAUGAUUUGGGUUGGCUUGAAAUUCUCACCUUGAGAGGUGUAGUAAGUGUGGGAAGUUUAGUCCCGGUUUUGUAGGCUCAUAUGAGAUCUUCAGUGGAGUUGGUAAGGUUAUUUUGGAACUAGAGUUGCUUAAUGAGUGAUACCGGUGUGUCCGGUUUUCUAUGUCUCUUGGACAUAGAAGGGUGUUGGAGGUCCGACAUUCAUAAAUUCCUUAAGGAGGAUUGGGAGUUAAUGAGAAUCCCUCUAAUUUAGAAAUACAGAAAUACUGGUAGGGAUUUUUGACCGGUAAGUUAACACAUAAAAGAACAAGGAAGUUGCUUCCACGAAAGUGUUAAGGACUGGUCUUUUAGUAAGGGUUUUAGGUGAGGGUGCUACUUGGGAGGCUGAUGGCCAAUAAGAAGUCUCGCUAUCCUCAUCCUUUUCCUUGUAUACCUCCUUUAGCAUUAAUAUGAUGAGUUCCUCAUGAUUUUUUUUUAUGUGAGGUCAUGUGUGAUUUGUAUGUUUCCAUGAUUUCCUUAUGUGGUGCAUGUUCAUGAAAGUUUGUGAUUUAAAAUAAAAUGAGUUUACAUGAUUAAUUUUCCUCAUGAUGAAGUGCAUUGAGUAGAAUUGCCUAUAGACUUCAUGGGACGAAUUGAUGAACAUGUUCUAACAUGGAGUUGAGAGAUUCCUCCUUGGUUGUAUGUUAUGAGUAUAGAUUGCAUGUACGCUCCAUGAGAUGACUUGUUGAGCAUGCUUUAGUUGUGCUUUUGAAAAUAUGUUGCAUAAGGACUCUACGAAGUUGUUUUGAGCAUGCUUUUAGUGGAAGAAUGUAGUUCCUCCUAUGUAUAUGAGUAAUAUUGAGUUAUCAUGAAUAAAGGGUUGUUAGAUGUAGUUCCUAAUUUCUUGUGUUGCAUUGAGUAUGCUUAUCUUGGAGUUGAAGUUUUCCUCUUUUGUUUGUGCGCAUUUAAAUGAGUUACAUGUAUGAUGGGUUACUAGUCUUGAGUUGUGACCUUGAGAAGUUCCUAGGAAGUCAUUGAAGGACGAACGUCCCCAAGGGGAAGAUAUUUUAACACCCCGUAGUCUAGUAGACCAUCUAGGGCUAAGUUCGAGGGCUACAAGUCAAGACUAGAGAGCACGAGCUAAGGCAAUAGGGCAAGGGCCAAGGCAAGAGCCAAGGCUGCCCCAUGGUUUCCAUGGCACUGCCUAUGACCACGAGAGCCUUCACAGCUCGUGGUGGCCACCACAGAUCAUGGUGCCACCCGUGGUGGUAAGGUAGUGUGCGCCUCAAGGCAGCCCAAGAUGACCUCCUCCACACGAGCCACGUCAUGGCUCGUGAAGGCCUUAACGGCUCGUGGGAGUGGCCUUUAAGGUGCCUUCAACUUUUGGGAAGCAAAGCCCUCAUACCAAGCUACUGGACCAUGGACCAUGAGCAGGACCACGGCUCGUGAGCCCUGUCCUGGUGCCUGGACUAAGCUGUCUAAGUGAGGGCAAAAUAGGAAAUUCCUUUUUUAGUUAGUAUUAAGUGGGGUCCUUUUUUAUAGACUCUAUACCCCCAUAUAAGUUAUUUUAACCCUUUAACCACCACAAUUAAGUCAUUAUUUCCAAAGACCCAAAUCAAAUCCCCAAAAGCUCUCUUCUCAAAUAUUUCUCUCUUUAGAAAACUCAAGAAGAAGAAGAGGGUCAAGCCAGGUCAAGUCACCAUUAUUUCAAGCUUGGUAGACUUUGUAAUCAAUGUAUGAUGGCUUAUUAAUUCAUGGAUUCCUUUCAUCCAUGAUGCCCCCAUGUUUCCCCCAAUUGUGAAGAUGAAUCCCCAAUUCUAAUUUGUGUUCCUUCCUAUAUUGUGGGUAUUGUUGUAUGUUGAUCCAAUUGAGUGGAUAAUGGCUGUUUAUGAUGAUUAUGAUGUAAUUGCAUGAUUUUAGUAUGACUAUGCAUGUAUUCUUGAUUAAUCUAAGAUUUUAGGGUGAAAUUGAUAUAGUUGGGGCUUAUGUCAUGAAAGAGGAAAUUGAGGGCUUAGAUGUGAUCUCCUAAGAUUGAUGAAUUAUUUGAGAUUAGAGUAUCUAACUAUGAAUUUCUUAAAACUAAAUCUUGUAGACAAGAAUUAAUUAGAUUAGGGCCUAUAUGAUGAUUCAUGAUUAAGUAGUGUUGAGAUUGAGUUUACAUAAUGAUAUAUGUCUAGAAUUGCUUAAGGAUGAAGCAUGUGGUUAGAUUGUCUUGAAAAUUAGGCAUAUAUGAUGACCAUGUGAAGUAUUGCUUGAGAGUAAGGUUUGUAGUAUGAAUGUGAGUUUUAGGGAUUUAAGGGUAAGAGCUAAUAUGAAUGAACUAAGAAUGUUAAGGCUUUAAUAGUGAAUCUAUUAUGUAUGUUGAUUUGUAUAAGGUAUUAUUGUGGAAGGACUUCACUCACAUGACCUAUAUUAUGAGUAUAUGUGAUCAUGUAUGUAAUUGAUUUGAUUGCUUGAAUUGUGAUUAUAUCCAUAUCUAAUGUAGUCAUUCUAGAUAUGUUGAUUUAAUAUGAGGUUUGACCCUUGAAAGAGCAAUAUAUGAUAUUAUGCAUGUUUUAUGAGACUUAUGUAUAUGAUUUAAGAACCUAUUUAGAGUAUGGUGAUAAUGACUAUGAUGUAAUGGCGGUGUUGUUCAAAGGCUACCCUCAUAUACAUAGUUAUGCAUGACUAUGAAUGAAAUGUCCAAGAUUAUGAUAAUGUUGUUGUGUUGAUUGAAAGGUUAUUCUCAUGAACACAUAAUGAAUAUGAUGUGAAAGGUUUUCUCACAAUAUGAUGAUUCUAAGGUUGAAAGGUUUUCUCACCUAAUUGAAUCUUACACAAACAUGUAGACAUGGACGGUGAAAGGUUUUCUCACCUAAUUGAAUCUAACACGAACAUGUAGACAUGGACGGUGAAAGGUUAUUCUCCCGCAUGAUCUAAUGAGCUAUCCUAAUAAAACAAGUUAGGGCUUAACAAGUACUCCAUGGGAAUUUUGCUUAACACCGAGUUGAUAUUGAAUAUGAGAUAAAAGUUUUUACGUUAGUUGAGUCCGGGUUUCAAAAUGGGUUCCUUCUAUGUCAGUUGCGUCCGGGUCCCCAAAACAGGUAUCUCUUGAGAUGGAAACCUUCUACCACAGUCGAGUUCGGGUUUAUAGUACCAAUCUCCAUAUCCCAUAAAUUACGUGCCCCCGUAGGAUAUUUAGCUAUUGGAUCCACCUAAAGCUAACACGCCAUGAUCUUACCUUAGGCAAUUAAGACAACCCUUUUUGGUGUGGGUAACACCAGAUUCCAUGAUAAUCUCACAUGGUCUAUGUUGGUUAAGGCUAAUUCCCACUAUCCCAAUAAGGCUAUGAAAUAUGAACUAUGGUUACUUGAGGAACUUUACUUAGCAUGGUGAGAUUAUGGGAUCUUACUCAGACAUUGCACUAGUAUUCUUUGACGGUAUUCAUGGUAUGUUCUCUUAUGUUAUGAUGAUCUACGUAAUGAAUAUGCUUAUGGCUUGUGCUUGUGAUGUAUGCUUGGUUGGAUGGUAGCUUGAAAGGCCUUUAUGAUACGUGUGUAACUAAAGAUGAAUGUUCCCUUGUCUAUGAGAAAUACGCUAAGGAUAAGGUCAAAUGGUAAGUAUGAUUAUGGUGGCCAAAAAGGGUACAUAGCAUGGGUGGGAUUAUGGGGUCUUAUCCAUGCAUUGCACAAGUAUACUUGGAGGUUACUUAUGAAGUAUUUCCUUAUGAAAUGAAGGUCUAAGUGUUGACUAUGUAUAUGGACCAUGCUUUAUGAUGCUUGCACUAUGUCUAUUUUGGAUAUUAUGCUUAUUAUUAGAUUGCUAUCUCUUACGUUUAUAACCUACGUCUCAUGAUGAUGUCUCUUAUACUUAUGACUUAUGCUAUUGUCUCUUAUGGUUAAGGUAUAUGUCUUAUGUUGAUUAAUGCCUCUUUUAUGCUUAUGUUGAUGAUUUAUGCUAGCCAUCAUAUUUAGUACAUUAUGGUACUAACACAUACUUUUUCCCACAUUCUUAUCAAAUGUAUGGUUUGGCGAUAUUGAGUUCCAUUCUCGUGGAUAGGUUUAGUAGAGAAAAGGAGUUGAAGACUUGGUGAGUCCUUAUAGCAUUGAGGAUGUGAUUACCUUUAUGUUAUGCCAUUUUUUUAUGUUCUAGACAAUUGUAUGGGCUGCGUCCCAAAGUUUUAUUCAAUUGGUUUUAAAUGGUUUGAGACAAAGUGUUAUAGACUUCCACAUGUUUUUAUAAAAGACUUCGAUUGUUAUGAAAAAUGUUUUAAAUUUCCGCAUCAUUUCUAUUAUCUUAUGUUAUAAUAUGCUAAGGGGCUUGUAUGAGACCCCUUCGGGGUUGAGUACACUUUUUUACAUCUAGGGGGUACCCCUGGGUCAUGACAUAGAAGGAUAGCCAAACCUACCUGAAGAAAGAAACUUCACCAGAACAACUCUACCAGAGCAAAUUUUCAACCACAUGCUAACCGAAAUGAUCCUCAACUAUCAAGAAUGGAAUUAGUUUAUCAAAAGGAGUCCAAUGAUACCCAUAUUGAUAUAAUUUGUAAUGGGGGUAAAACACAUCAAAAAUUACUUCGCAAAUCAAAAUGGUAAAAUCAGAUAUUUAGUUGAAAAUUAAGUUCUACAAGCCCAGAAUAGUUCCUGGUUGAAAAUCCCAUUAAAAAAGGUAAGAAUCGAGCUCAAAAUCAAGAAUUUCAUACUUUUCCUACUUGGGGAGAAAAACCCCAAAACCCACAUUUGAAAUGCGGUCAAAUGAGAAUUUUCAGAAAAACAUUGUCACAAUCAGUUUGCCCAUAAUAUAAGGACCUUAGAACCCGAAAACCAAUGAAAACCCAUUCCUAAUCGACCUUUAAAUCAACAAUUUUUUAUUUCUAUACUUGGGGGUUUAAAACCUCAACCUAAUGGAUAUAAAUCAUGUAAUUUGAAAAGGAUAUUCUUGGGAAAAGAGUGAAAUAAGGUUAGAAAUACGUACCCAAUGAUUAUGUAAGAAAAACGCGUCAAAAUCAUCUCAGGCCGAGUUUUCUAGCUCCCAAAUUGUCAAAAAUACAAAAUAGAUUUGAAUAGAUAUUUAACUCAGCGAUUUCAUCACUAAAACCCAUUUUUGGUCACUUAAAGUCUACUUUUAGCCACCUAAAUUGUGCACCAGCAAUCUUCAAGACCCUCGAAAACCAUUCGUAAUCCUAUAAACACGAACCAAUAAUGCAAAUACUUCAAAAAAUAUGUUUUGAAACCAAUGAAAUCGUCGAAUUUUAAAAAAAAGAUUAUUAUGACCGAAAUACCCCUCAAAAACCAUUUAGGCCAAAAAUUCAACUUUUUACCUAAAUAUCUAAAUCACAACCUAAGGUCUCAGGACUCUAACCAAUCACGUUCCUAGAACAAACUCGACAUUUUAGACUCAAUAAAACUGAUGAAUCCCCAUACGACACUGGAACUCAAAAUAUUGACCAAAGUAAACCAUAUAAAAAAUUCUCAACUCAAAAGGGUCAAAAUCAACAAAAACAUACUAGAUCACAUCGGGGAAAAAACCAACGAUUCCCGAAACCAAAACUAAACAUGAACAAGCUAAUAGGAAGGGAGAAAUGGUUAUUACGCAAUUCAAAUCAAAUUCACAAGAAAGGGGAUAUUACGUAUAUACUCUUAUAGUAUCAUUGACUAAUGAGUAAUUUCUGAAUAAGAAGCCCUAGUGAUACCAAUGUAUAUAUAUAUAUUAUAUAUAUAUAUAUAUAUAUAUAUAUAUAUUCUUAUAGUUAAGAAGUUGUAACUAUUCAAACUUCUCGUGUUAAAAGGAGAUAUCUUCUUUUCAGGAAAGAGAUAUAUACGACAAAACUUGUGAAAGGAGAAGAAAACAUGUGAACGUUCAAACGUGAAAAAAAAAAGAAAAAUAGAAAAAACAAAACCUUGUUCUCUUGUCAAUAUUUAAUCGACACAUAUCGAGACACUUAGUUUGUGAUCAACAACAAUCUUUGUUUCCUAGUGAUUCAAAGAGAGAUUUGGAGCUGAUCGUUUUGGUAGCGAAAUCACCAACAACAACUUCCACUACAAGUAUAAAAUUGCACAUCUUGAUGUUAUGCGAUGCUUCCAUGCGAAUUCACUAAGUUGUUGAAAAAAAAAUUGUUAUUUUUUUAAAAAAAUCGGUGAAGAAAAAAUUUGGAAGAUGUUAAGGUUUUUUAAAGUCUUUUUUUAAUGUGGAUUAAUCAUAUUGUAUAUAGAUUUUCUUGUCCUAUAAUGAUACUGACUCAUAUUCUAGAUAGGAUUCCCUGUCCUACCAUGAAAGUGAUUCUAUGGUUUAUUUGUUUUAUGAAAAUUUGCUGUUGUUUUUCUAUAUUUUUAGUUCAGCAUGUUAAAACUAUGGCAUGAAAUUUUAUUUUCAUAAUUUACUCAUUCGUAACUUACCGUGGAUAUGUUAUGAGAGUAAAACAAAUUUAAAACGAGUGAGAUAUGAUUUUUUGAAAGUUGGUUGUUUUGGGACUCUUUUCAAGAACAUAUUGCUUCUGUUGGGUUGCAUUUUGGUAAUUCUAUGUUAAAACGUUUUACAUAAAACUUGUCUUUUCAUGAUUUAGUUGUUUAUUGCUUUUCGUGGAUAUAUUAUAAGUGUAAUUCAGAUAAAAAAUGAAUGAGUUGUGAUCCUUUGAAUCUUCAAAUAAUCCCUUUUGGUGGAAACUCCUUUUAUAAAUAAUUUUUCCUUCUACCGAAAAAAUUUGAUAUGCUUUGUCGCAUUAAAUGGUAUUAUCCAUAUUUCUAUUUUCUGAUUCUCAUCUCUGAUAUGGCCGAAUAAGAACUUGCUCAUUUUUCUCCAAAUGGGAGAGGUACUGAAAGAGGAGAAAAAAGAAAAAAGUAGAAGAAUUCAUUGCGAGUAUGAUUUAGAUUCUAAGCCCGACUCAUUAGGAAUAACUCAAGGGCGCAACAAAAUCAAGAUAGAGAUAUAAGAGCGCGUAAAGGGAAGGAAUAAGACUUCUUGAGGAUUUCAAGAAAAUCCAUAUGGAUCCUCUUGACUCUUUACUAGAUUUCCCCAAAUCGUUCAACAUGAAAUAAGAUGAGAUUCACGAAAAAUUUGUUUAUGUUGAGGAUCACAAUGCAUUUGUCGUUUGGUUUCACUCCUUACCACAGUACUGGAAGAUUUAACUGAUUAGAACUUAUUAUGACAUUCGGCAUAAUGAACCGUUAUGGAGGUUUACGAUAAAUAUAGGAGUUGUGGAUAAAACUUCACACAGAAGCAUUGUUUUGUAUUGAAUAUCUUGUUUAUUCUUUACAAAUUUUGUCAUGACACUACCACAAAUAAGAUAUAUAGCUACGAAAUUAUUAGCUACGACAUCAAAUUCGUCACUAAUUGUUCACUUUUAGUGACAAAAUUUACUUUUCGUGCUUAAAUAUAUGAAACAUAUACUUUUAGUGAAGAAACAUAAAAAUCCGUAGCAAAGUUUUGUCCACUAAAGUUUCGCACCAAAAAAUUAAUUGGCGCCAUUUGUUAAGUAGUGUUACUCAGGAAUUUAAAGUUAUCGGUGACACAUUAAAUUUUCACUAAUAAUGUAUCUAAUUCAUGACAAAUUAUUUUUUUGCCACUCAAGAAAACUAAUGUGUUUGGAAGCCCGCGGCCAAACAAAUAUUUUACAGAGAGCCAACAAGAAAUUCCAUUAAUAACUGGCCGUUUUGAUCCUUCAGAACAACUCGAUGAAUUUAAUAGAUCGUUUUAGGAGGCCCUAAUCACUAUAAAUCGAACCUAUCCAAUUGCUACAGUACAAUGGUUGGACUGUUCAGGGCCUAGUUGUACCUACUGUCUUUUUUUUGGGAUCAAUAUCAGCAAUGUAGUUCAUCCAAUGAUAAACUUAAUCUGAAUUAUAGAGCUACGACACAAUCAAAUACGAAAGAACAAAAUGUUGAAUGAAUCGUACCAGUCUCUACUGGUGGUUAUUACUCAUUUUUGUACUUGCUGUUUUAUUUUCCAAUUAUUUCUUCAAUUAAGAAAACGAAAGAGAAUAAAUAAGAUUCUCUUAGCUCAUUCGGAAGGAUCUCAUAAUUUAAUUAUCCAUGACUGUUUAUGUCUCUAGCAUGACCACUUGAUGAAAUCUGGAGGGAAGUGGGGUAAAUGGCCGAUACUACUGGAAGGAUUCCUCUUUGGAUAAUAGGUACUGUAGCUGGUAUUCUUGUAAUCGGUUUAAUAGGUAUUUUCUUUUAUGGUUCAUAUUCCGGAUUGGGUUCAUCCCUGUAGUAAUCGACUGAAUUGAGUUGUCAACAUGAAAGCGUAAGAACUUAACGGGAUUCCCUUCUUUGUUUGUUUGAUUCGAAGGGGAAGGGCCCGUUGAGUUCUUAAGAAUCAUAAUAUUUUUUUCGUCUAAAUGAUAAAAUGGAUUUCUUUUUCUUUUCAAAAACUCCAUUUUUCUCAUUUUUCUGAGCAUAUUAAAAUGGAAUUUUUUUUCUUUUCAAAAACUCCAUUUUUCUAAUUUUUCUGAGCUUGUUUUUGAAAAAAUCACUUCAUUGAGUUAGUCAGACCACCUCUUCUUUUUAUAU